RNAcentral lists this long non-coding RNA (57616 nucleotides) under Ananas comosus (pineapple). RNAcentral's name for it is "long non-coding RNA (ACOM_LNC006629)". Lineage: Eukaryota; Viridiplantae; Streptophyta; Magnoliopsida; Poales; Bromeliaceae. The record is from RNAcentral.
AUUUUUAAGUUGUCUUUGCUGCUGAAUGUUAGGUUUGUGGGAGAGAUGUAGAGCUAGCUUAUCUGGAUCUCUUCAAGCUGCACAGGAAUCUUAGGAUUCCCACAGAAGAAACGCCCGUCGAUAGCGAUGACUCGGACUUAUUCUGUCACUCUAGAUGAACGGUAAAACCGUCAAGAAUGUAGAUCUAUUGUUCAUGUCCGAACAAAAACUUAAUUAUCAGAAAACGUAAAAAAAAAUUACAUAACAAUGAUGGGUUAAGUUCAUUCAGCCGCGAACAUGAUAUAGGAUUGCUACGUUUAUAAGAUUGUUCUUGCAAGUUGAACUGGAAUUGUAAGAAUGUGAGACAGCAAAAUUGACAUAUUGUACGAAGGAAUUUUCUCCACAUGAAGUUGCAGAGUGUUAGUAUAUAUUUCUAGGCUCUUGUUUCGUACUAAAUCGAUCUUUUAGAUAAUACAGUAUUUAAGCCGUUUCUAUCCCUCUCAUGUGACAUUUAAUAAAUUUAAUUAUAUAAUGGAAUAAAUUUUUAUACUCUAUUUUAUUUAUUAAUUCUUUUUUAUAUUCAUCAUGCACGUGAGUAUGAAUGUUAAUAUAUAUUUCUGGAAUUAUUUUCUACUCGAUCACUAUUUUGGGAAAUACAGGGAAUUUGAUUUCCAUGAUAAUUUAGAUUUUAUAUAGUGAGAACUAUAACAUUUGAUUUAAAGAUAUUUAUAUCUUUUGAAGAUAAAGUUUAUAAAUUGAAUUUAAGCAAACUAAAUAACAAAAUCGUGAGAAAAUAAAACUGAAAAAUAUCAAAACCCACCAGCGGCAAAAUUGGCUGGUUUGGUUUAUAUUUGAGAUACUCUGAAAGCCAUCAAAGGUUAAAAUAAAGCUUACAUAAAAUUUUGAAAAGUUACUAGUAAAACUUAAUUACCCUAUCAUUAUAAUGAAAUUGUCACUAAGUCCAAGGAAAUAAGCAUACAUCAUAUCUCCGUUUAAAAGUCUCAACUCAAAGCAUCGAUAGUUAACAAAAUUGGGUUCGAGUCUAAUACUGAUAAGAUAGGAUCACAUGCUAGUUAAACAUGUUACUAGCUAGCUAGGCCCGGUGUAAUUUUAUUCGAUAGAUCUUUUAAAUAACAUGGUAUCAGAAUUCAAAGGCAAUCCUAAUUAAGCUCCCCUCUCCAACUCUAAUUACCUAACUUGCAAUUAGUUCAAAGUGUCUAUCAAAUCUAUUAUGCACUUAAACAAGUUGUUUCCUAUCAAAUCAAUGUUUUUGGAUAAUAAUACCAAAUCUGUUCACUCAAUGCGAUAACCUUGUUAAGAGAGGGUGGACUGGAGAUACAGUCUGUGUGUUGUACAGGGCCCACGACGAGUCUGUGUACCAUCUAUUCACUCAAUGCGUCGUUAUCAAGUACAUCAUGAUGAUGGGACUCGAGGAUUUCCACGCAGAGGAACUGGGUGACGAUGUACUGGUAGUUUGGGAUAAGUGGACGGAAAAGACUGCGGUGCGCGGUAGAAGUAAUGGACUUUCUGAAUUGGUCGCAUGCUGGUGGACGAUUUGGAAGGCCAGAAAUAACCUUAUCUUUCGUAAUCAACAGCUCGACCUUGUUUUGGCCGUCCAAAGGUUCAAGAUAUUGUUAACUUCGUGGAAAGAUCUGCUUUGAGCGUUGUUUUUUUUUUUUUUUUUUUUUUUUUUUUUUUUUUUUUUUUUUUUUUUUUUUUUUUUUUUUUUUUUUUUUUUUUUUUUUUUUUUUUUUUUUUUUUUUUUUUUUUUUUUUUUUUUUUUUUUUUUUUUUUUUUUUUUUUUUUUUUUUUUUUUUUUUUUUUUUUUUUUUUUUUUUUUUUUUUUUUUUUNAAUAGCGUGCUACCUAUUCUCAAAAAAAAAAAAAAAAAACCAAAUCUGGGCCUAACAUUUCAAGGUUUUUUACAUUAGAUUCAUUAUCUCAUUUAUGAGAUUCUAGCUAGGGACCAUGGUCUUUAUUGAUUUUGGUUUGAGUUUGCAUCAUGGGACCAGCUUGAUAUCAGUUAAUUAGGCAAAAGUAAUAAACAAUACUUUAUUAAUCUAAGUUUGUAAACUUGCUUUGCCCAAGAAAGAUACUGCAAAACCAAAAGAAGAGCUUUUUUCUUAAAUGCAAAGAUGAAUUAGGUUCCAAGACCCCUACUUUAAUAAGAUGGAGCCUUAAAUUUGAAGUUCUAUAUCAAAAGUUAACAAGUGACACAUAUAAUACCAAAAAGCAUGUAAAAAAGUAGAAGCUGAGAAUUACCUAACACAUUUGGACAAUCUAUCUUAAUUUUCCUCCACAUUAAUUAGUACAUGAAAUAGAAAAAAAAAAAGAAAAGAAAAUUGGGAAGUAUCUAGUCUCCAAAAUGAUCAGGUAUUAUAAGUAUGCUUUUGGAAAAGAAAUAUUAUGUGCAUCCAUAGGCAAUCAUGCAUGCACAAGAAUCCAAUAAGCAAUGAUAUUAAGUACAUGUACAAGCUUAACAUAACUUCUUUAAUUAACUACUAAUUAAGGUUUAUAUAAUAUCUAAUAAGCAUUAUCUAAACUGAUUUGUUCUUAUCCCAAGGAAUAAAACUAAAAGUGUUUGAUCCUUUUGGUUGAGCGGGGGAAUGUAUUAAUUACUAGUUUAAAUAAAUCACAAGCAUAUCAAAAGAUUUCGCAGCUAAAAAAAAAAAGCAUCAAACUAUUGAUGCAAGUUAUAGUUUAUCUCCAUUGCAUAUAUACUCGAUCAUCUGAUUGAAGUACAUAUUUAAUUAGCUAGUUUUCGUUGCAUGUUAGGCAACUGUUAAAGAACGUGUUCUCACUGAGUGUUGGAAAAUUUUAAGGGUUAAUAUAUAAUAUUAUUCAUCUUACAAAAACAACCGAAUACGACCCAACUCAAUAUCGAUAAUUUUGUAAGUUUCUUAAUUAAUUGUUUUAAAAAUAACAAAUUAAUCAUCUUAAAAUUCACAAAAAAUGCUGGUAAAACAAAACAAAAAUUUUAAGAAAAGUACGAUGUGCGAUUCUCGUGUUACCUUAAACGAUUGCGUCGUCAUGACAGUUUCUCUCUUUGCUAAACGCAAGGGGUUAAUGCUUAACAUUUCUCCUCAGUUAGGUACAAUUAGUUCGCCAAGGAGCUGCCACUCCGAGGCAGGAGCUUCAGCCCCCUCAUCAUUUAUGUUAAUCUUGAAAAAGAUACGUGUCGAACGCGUGGAACCGAUUGAUAGAAUAGGUGUCGAACGCGUGGAACCGAUUGAUAGAAUAGAUCUUGAACUGCGAGGUCAUGAGACUCGAUCAAAAUUGCUUCUGAUGGUGUCAUACACUUAAUGCAAUCUACUUCGAUCCCACCAAUCUUAUAGCUUAAAAAUAUGUUUAAAAUGAUACAAACCCCAUCAAAAAAGGGAAAUGAUAAAAUAGAUUCGGUGUGUUUCCCGUAAAUUCCAAAUGCUAACUAAGUUGAUACUUGUAACAAGAAAAGAUUGUUCAAGUUUUUUUUUUUUUUUUUUUUUUUUUUUUUUUUUUCCCUUUGCAAACUAAAUUCUCAACCAACCACAACUUGUUCUCAAUGUUGGACUUCAAUUAUGAGCCAAAAAAACAUGAUUGAUUGUCCUCAAACGCGGGGCAAAAUUAAGCUACUCAUCACCUGAUGAAGAGUCAUACAGAGUUUCUUAAUGAAAUAAACAAAACGGAUAGCGUGCUACUUAUCUCUCAAAGAAAAAAAAAAAAAGAGUCAUACAGAGUUUAGAAAAAAUUCUUCCUAAGGUGGUGCAGUGCUAUAUUUUUCACUAAAUCAGUUUAAAUAAUUUAGUUAUAUAUUAAUUCUUUAUAAAGAAAAGUACAAUCAGGACCCAACCCCUCAAAAAUUGAAUUUUCUAAAUUAGUGAACUAAAGCUGUAUUAAUGGGGUAAAGGGGAACUAUGAAAACACAGUUGGAUUGUACUUUGUGUGUCCCUAUCAAAAAUAAAUGUCACCAAUUUGGACGUUUGGAUACCUUGUGGAAACUUUAUUUGUUAUAUAUAUAUAUAUAUAUAUCUAUAGAGUUCGGCUAUGAUGCUUGUAAAAACACGAAACACUUGGUACUUGUAAAUUUUUUACCAUUAAAUUUAUGCCUUUGAUUAUUUUCAACCGUUAGAUUAUACUAUUCAACCCACCACCCACUCAACCCUAGGGGGUUCACGUCAUCCUAACCGCACAUUGCUUAAUCCAAUUGCUAAAAAUCUACAAACACCAACAACUUGGUACUUUUAAAAGCAUAGGAGCUCAAUUCUAUAUAUAUAUAUAUACAUAUAUGUAUAUGUAUAUAUAUAUGUAUAUAUAUACAUAUAUGUAUAUGUAUAUAUAUAUGUAUAUAUAUACAUAUAUAUGUAUAUACAUAUAUNGUAUAUACAUGUAUACAUGUAUACAUGUAUAUACAUGUAUACAUGUAUACAUAUAUAUAUAUAUAUAUAUGCUAGUGCCCAAUAUUGCAAAGCUGGAGAAAGAAAAGAAAUUGGUCAAAGCUGUGUGAAAUAUGUCAAGGGUUGGUGGUUGGUACUCGAGACCAAAGUUCGAAUCCUAGUUGAUUCACAUUUUUAGCUAAAUUUAUUUCUAAAUGAAAUAAACGAAACGGGUAACGUACUAUCUAUCUCUCAAAAAAAAGAAAUAUGUCCAUUUAGCUAGCUUAGUACUUGUGUGUUUGUGUUCAUCAUGUAUGAAACAUGGGAACAAAAAUACAUUAUCCGAUGAAAUUUAAGUAGGUAAUCUUAUGUGGUGUAAUCUUACUUUUUUGGUAAGGCCAUUUCAAUUAAUUAUUUUUCUCCAAGAAUAGCUAGUUGAAUAUCUAUAGAUGCAUCCUAAAUAAUGCUGAUAGAAAAAUCACUAUACUAGAAAACAUUGUCAAAGGAUUCUUCUUUUAAAACCUUACCAAUUUUGAUUGCUAAAUAUCCAGCUAGAUUUGAACAAGUGGCAUGUUCAGAACUCGAUAAGGGUUUAAAUGAUAACAUGCGUCUUAUGAUAAAAAAGGCUGGAAAACCAACAAAGUAGUGUGUCCACAUCUAGAUCAUCAAUCAAAAGACUAAAAGCUCUAUAAAGACAAAAUGGCGUUGAUUAAAGAGUUCUUUACUAAAACUACUGCUACCGAAAGCAGAAGCAAAACCGCACAGAAUAUAUAAUAGAGUAAUUUUAAUGAUUCAAUUGAAAAACUCUGCGCAUAAGACCACAUGUACAUGCAGAUGAAAUGGUUCGUACGUGCAGGGGUCCCAAACCCGGAAUACCACAUCCAUCCAUCAGCGACGUUCUCAUCUCUUUGAUCACUCUACACACUACACAAGUGAGAGAGAGAUUGGGGGAACACAUAUGUGGGUACCCAUAGCACUGUAGCACGUACUAUAGCACGUACUAUUCCCUAAUGAUCCAUACUUAUACAUACACACACACACACACACCGAAUCACUAAUCAACACGCCAACCAUGCAUGCAUGAACACGAGCCCAUCACACGACAACAAAAAAAAAAAAAGUGUCGGAAAAAGGUCCUUAACUAAAAUUAGCGUGGACAAUUAAAGUACAAAUAUCUAUAUAUCUAUAUCAGAUCUAAGGACAAUAUAUGCAGACGUGGAGGAGGAGGAGGAGAUAUGUAGUGAGGAGGAGGGGUUCGGAGAAGAGAUCUAGGAGAGGAAAAAUUCUAUAUAUUUCAUAUAUAAUGUGCGAUAUGUAAUUAAUUAAUGUACGAAGAGCGAAGAGGACGGUACGAGUGAAGAGGAAUUGGCAUUUUACAAAUGAAUGUUUGUUGUAUUUAGCAAUUUUGUGGCAUUCGAUUAAAUAAGCACAGGAGAGAGGGUCUGCGUGCUAGUUAGAGGAUGGACCACCGAUUUUUUUUUUCUUUUUUUUCAUUUUUUUGAGAGAUAGGUAGCACGCUACCCACUUCGUUUAUUUUAUUUAAAAAUAAACUUAAUUGAAAAUGUUAAUUGACUAAGAUUCAAAUUUGGAACCUUGGAUAUCAACCACCAAACUCUUUGCCAUUUGCUUCAUUGGCAGAUACUUUCGUACGUGAGCCCAGAUUUUCAGGAGUUGAAAUCUCGUCCACUUUAGCUGGUCUGCAAAUUAAGUAUCUUCAAAAGCUAACUAUUCAUUUUCUCUCUGAAAAAUAGAUAAGUCAUGCUUCCGAAUAAAUGGAGACAUAAUAUAUAUGACUCUAGAAAUGAUCUGCUAUUGAGGCAUCAAUGUUAGUUAUAAGAUAACCCGUCUAGAGAGUAUUUUGGUCUUCGCAGGAUGCUUAAGUAUAGACUUUUCAAAUAUCUGCAACAAUAAUUGGAAUUCAAAUUAUAUCCACAUUGCACGAAACUUAAUUUUGAAUCGAAUUUAAUGUUUCUUAAUUUUGAAUCAAAGUUUUACGGUAUUUAAAUUCAAUAUUUUUAUUUUAGUUGGAUACUUAACGAAUGAGGCAUUAUCUAAUUUGGUAAAUAAUAAAAUUAAACCAAGAACUUAAAAUUUGUGGGUCGCAAAACAAAUUUGGUAUGUGAUACUAAUUCUUUGCCAAUAUUGCCUUAUUGACUAAUCUAAGUCAGUAAACUGUUCAGUAAAUUAUUUUUAUGAAAAAUCUAAUCACCAAUAAUUUCACUAGUCUCAAUUACCUGAAAAUUAUUCGCCAAUUAUGCGCAAUUUGUUGCACAUUUAGUUAUAAAGAUCUCAAUGCUGGAGAAGUCGGGAGCACAAACUCUUUUUUAAUUAAAGUGCGCAAAAGCAUUAAUUACUACAAGCUCUUCUUCCGAGAAGUAAUUAGAAAUUUUAAAAAAAAUCUGCGGAUGAUAAUCUUUUACUUCUUUGCCCGAAGCAUGUUAGCUUGUUUGUGUAAUUAACAUCGCACAAUUAAUUUUAAAAUUAUUUUACAAAAACAAUUAGAACUAAAUAGAUGUCUCAAUCAUCUUGAUUUAUAUAUAUAUAUAUAUAUAUAUAUAUAUAUUAAUGUUGUACUCUAAUAUUUGUUUUUCCUAACCGUUCAAAUACUUUAAUCUAAUAAAAGCAAUGAUGAAACGCUUGAAAGGGAUGCUGAAAAGCUUCCUAUAACCAUUCCAAAGUGAAGAAAACUACAUAGAAAAUAGAAUUGCAUCACUAGAUAAUGAAUUGCCGUAAAUGAAUUUGCUUAUUAAAAAGGGUUUAUAAUAAUACUCACACCGACACACCCACAUGCAAAUCCAGUAGUUUUUACUAGCACACUAUACACAAGUAGGGAUGUGAAAGGGUACGAAUAUUUGAAAUUUUAUUAGAACUCAAAUUCGAACAUAACAGAUUUAUUCGAUACUAAAUGAAUAUAGUUUCGAAUAUAGUAUAAAAAAUAAAAAUCCAAUAAAUUUGGAUUCGGAUAUGAAUUUUGCCUGUACCCGAACCCGAACUCGAAUUUAUUUUACUCUUUGAUGUUAUAUUUGAAUUUGUAUUUAAAAAAAUUAGAUUUAAUAUUAUAUUUUGAAAUAUGAUAAAGAGAAAUAAUUGUUUCAGAUUCGGAUUUCGAAUAUUUGGUUGGUUCAGGUUUGAAUAUGAACUUUUAAAGUCUGUCGAAUUCGAGUUCACAUUUAGAUGAAUAACUGGAUUUAGGUUGGGAUUUUGAAAAUUCGCCCCGAAUUCCAUCUAUUGACAUCACUAUCCACGAGAAGGGUAAUUCAACCAAGUACUUUAAAUGUCUAACUUUUACAUAAUGGUGGUAAGGUUGGUGACUUAGAUGUUGAUUGAUUAAUCACUAUCGAAGUAAGUAUGCAUCUCUUUCAAUGCUUCAGUAGACAACAUUCUGGAAAGCAAAUUGAUAUAUUAAUUAACAUCAAUGAACUACGAUAAGAUUCAAAACUUAUGGAAUUUAAUAUUAAUUAAUCAAUUGAAACGUGUCACGUACCAUUCGGUUAAUUAAAGUGUACAUUAAGGCCGUGUUUGGAUGCAUAGUUAAAAAACUCUAUGGCAUUUUUAUUCUAUAGUUUUGAUCUAAAUAAAAUACGAAAUCCUGUAACUACAAAAAAAUUCCACAGCUUCAUUUUUAAGCCGUUUGGAUACAGAUCAUACAAUUCCAUAGUAUUUAUAAUAAUUAAAUUUCUAAAAUUUUAAAAUUCAAAAUUCAAAAUUCAAAAUUCAAAAUUUAAAAAUAAAAUUUUAAAAAAUAAAAUUCAAAAUUCAAAAUAUAAAAUUUAAAUUUAAAAUUUAAAAUUAAAAAAUUAAAUUAGAUUUUAUGUUUUAAAUUUGAAAUUUGAAAUUUGGAAUUUGAAUUUAAAAUUUGAAAUUUGAAACUUUAAAUUUUAAAAUUUAAAGUAUAACAUUUAAACUUUAAAAUUUGAAAUUUAAAAAAUCUAUAAUUAAAAUUUUAAAUUUUAAAUUUAAUAAUUUAUAAAUUUACAUAUUUAUAAAUUUAAAAUUUAAAAUUUAAGUUUAAAUUUAAAUUUUGAAAAUUGAAAAUUAAAAAUUAAAAAUUAAAUUAAAAUUUGAAAUUUGAAAUUUGAAAUUUGAACUUUUUGAAAUUUGAAAUUUGAAAUUUGAAAUUUGAAAGUUGAAAUUUGAAAGUUGAAAUUUGAAAUUUGAAAUUUGAAAUUUGAAAUUUGAACUUUUUGAAAUUUGAAAUUUGAAAUUUAAAAUUUAAAAUCAAAAUUAAAAUUGAAUUUUAAAAUUUUAAAUUUUGAAAUUUAAAAUUUUAUGUUGAAAUUUAAAAUUUAGAAAUUGAUAUAUCUUUCGGAACCCAAAAUGGUAAAAUUUUUUCUUUUGGUUAAAGUGGAUUGUAAGUUUACUCUAUUUUUUGGAGUAUAGUAUAACUAUACUCCAAAAAUUACAUUUUUUUUUUUCUUCCAAACGCUUAAUAGGAUUAUUUUCCUACCGGCGUAGUAUAGUUUAACUAUGCUACGUUUUUAGAGGUAUCCAAACGGGGCCUAAUGUUAGGUUAUUAUAUAGUAAACAUCUUGGCACUUCUCCCUUAGCAUUCCAUUAUCAGUUCAUCUCUUAUUAAGGGAAUUGUGCUUUCUAUAUAUUUAGCUUACUGCUUAUAUAUUUAGCUUACUUCUUAUGUAUAUAAUAUGAUUUUUUUUUUUUUUUUAAGACGCAGUAUUAAUUAUAUCAUCAUGCAAUUCUUGUAAAAGCUCACAGUAUUAUUUUAUCAAAUAAACAAAUAUACUGAAUUCGUUAGUCAUAUAAAAUAACUUGUCAAAAAGAAUAUUACACUACCGAGUUUGAGUUAAAACAUUUUUAAAAAAUAUGAUUUGUAUUUUAUGAAUUUUCAGCAUCAUAUACUAGAUAUUUAAAAAGCCUUAAAAAUAAAAAUCUUUAUCCAAUAAUAGAGAAAAUUUUAAAUAUCAUGCAUGUGGUUUCGCACUUUUUUAUUUUAGUAUCCUAUGGUUUAAAACGUAUCAAUUUAGUAUCCCGUGGUUUCAUUUUUUUCUUUUUUUUUUAUUUUUUCUUCACUAAAUUUUUUUUUUAUUAAAUCAGUGACAAAGUUAAAACUAAAAGGUACUAAAGUGAAUAUAUGAUAAAUCUAGAUGGAAUAUCUGAAAUUUUUUAUAUAUAAUUUAACAAAAUGUUAAAAGAGGAGCGACGAAAAGAAAAAAAAAAACCCACAAAAUACUAAAUUGAUACAUUUAAACCGAAGAACACUAAAGUGAAAAAGUACGAAACCACAGUGAUGGAAUUUGAAGUUUAUCUAAAAAAUUAGGAGAAUUUGAAAAAUUACUCAGCCUUCGUUUGGGAUUACGGAGAGAUUGCAUUACGUGUGAUGAGAAAAUAUUACACCCCAUAUUUCGCGAUGAGUCGGUAGACAAUAUAUUGUCUACAAUUUCACGAGAGAACGCAGAAGCAUAUCAAUCUCAAUACGGAACUAAGCCUAAAUAAGUGUGGAUGGUGGGAAACAAUUUUGUACCAUCUAACUAACCUGGUCUAUAAUAAAUUAACAAACUAAAAAUUAUCAUUCUCGGCCUUCUCGGCAAGAGAGCAAUAAAUUAAUGAAUGAAUUAACUACCCCUCCAUCCCCAACCCAACAACAACCGUACGGAGGUUCUUAGUUUUCCACUCCCGAGGGUCGGAAGCGGCGGUUCCCAGUUGCAGCUCCUGUGCGCGUACCCCCACCAAAUUAAGCUGCGGGGAACACGCGUCGCGCAUCCGCGUUGAGCGCCCCAGAACCCCGCUUGCGUGGGGAUGCGCGCGCGGAGAUGGGGAGGGGGGGGAGAGGAUGGGGCUCAGAGAGAGAGAGAGAGAGAGAGAGAGAGGGGAGGGUCCUCUCCGUCUCGCGCUGUGGUGUGGCCUGUGGGGAUGCGCGUCGCAGUUACCGAGGCGUGGGGAGAGUGUGUAUGUGUUUUUUUUUUUAUUUAAAAAAAUUUCUCUCGUUGGUCGCCUCGAGCCCUGGGGCGGUGGUGGGUGGGGAGGGGGGACCGGGGGCAUCGCGCUGGGCAGAAAGAGCGCCGCUCGUACCUUUUGCUGCGACACUUUUAUCAUAUCAUAUGCAAAAACCUGCAGCGUGUCAUCAUAUUUACGUUUUUGAGACUCGAGAACCUCUCGCCUGCAUGCGGUGUAUAACGCACUCGUGACUAGUAAAAUCAACCGGCUGUUUUUUUUUUUUUUCAUAAAUUAUCUCAUUAAUUUUAUAAUUAUAAUUUUGAUUUUAUUUUCGCUACGCAAGCACCACGUCAGCGCCACGCGAGUAGGAUGGGAGUUGAGUGGUAAGUUAAAAUACGGUAAACCAUUCACCGUGAUUUAAUGGUUCACGCUCAAGUAAUAUAAUAUAUUAGACACUGUAAAUUAUUUACCAUGUCUAGAUAUGUUGAAUGAAUUAUUAUAUUCAACUUAUCCCACACCCUCCACUCCUACCGCAUGGCACUUAUAUGAUACCUGUAUGGCGUGAAUAAAGUAAAAAUUAUAAUUAUAAAAUUAGUGGAACUAUUUGUGAAAAUAUUUUUUUUGAGGUGGCCAAAUACAAAAAAACAACCCAAAAUCAAUGGAUCGAUUCAAAAUUAAGGAAUAAUUGCCUAUAAUAUACCUUUCCAAAUCUUUGAAAAAGAAAUAAUGGACUAUAUAACUUUUAAAAUUUUUAAAAUAUUUGCAGUAUAUUUUUCUAUUAUUUAAAAAAUAUUUCUACUGCUAGUGUCCGUUAAUUCAUCUCGGAUUAAAUCUAAAUUAAAUUUCUAUUAUAGUUAAAAAUAGUAAAAAUACCUAUUUUGCCCCUAAUUAAUGGCAAAUAAAAAAAAAAGCUAGUUAUGGUAAAAAAAAAAAAAUAUUUGAAAAAAGGCAAAAAGCAAAGUAUUUCUUCUUCUCCUAACUUAUGCGCAAAUAAGAAAAAUCGGUGAGGGUAAAAAAAUAUAUUUGAAAGGGUAAAAUACAAAUUUUACAGAAAUAACAACUGUUCUUAAUAGUUUUCUAACAAAAUUUAACUGUAGGAGUAUAUUUGAAAGAACUUGAAACUUUAAAAGAAUAUUUUUAAUAUUAGCCUCCUCCUAAGAAAAAUAAAUACGAAAGCCGAAAACUUGUUAGAAAUAUAUAAGCAAUUGCCGCUAAAAUUAAAAUUUAAUUUUAGAGGCAUGAAUAAUUUACAACACCUACAAUAUCACUUUACCUUAAUAAGUUGUACGGUAAAGAUUUAAAAAUUUUGAACGAAAAUACAGAGAAUGUUCGAAAUAUUAUAAAUCUCGAAACAAACAGCCCUUUCAGUGAAUUACAUUUUUCUAUUUUAUAAUUCUGGUGUAUGAGAUGUGCUUGUACACCCGGUGCACGCGACAAACUGUAUAGGAGAUGGGCGAGCGAUUAAUUCACAUGCAGAUUCAGGGUGGGCAGGAGGCACGCGUUUCACGGCCUCGAUCGCGAGCCAGCUCGGCGCUGCGCUCCGCGUUUUCCACGAUCCGACGCGCGAUAGGCGCGCUUCCCGAGAUAAACAAAACUAUCCCUGAACCAUGCGUAUCCCUACGUCUCGUAGACCGCUCUCACUUUCGCCCUGUUUGGAUAUCGUAAGGUAAUAAUGCAUUUGUAACUUGGUAUGAAAAUUUUCUUUAGACUGAUACUCUCGUUAGAACAGUUGAUCAAUCUGUCUUUUGAGCGUUGGACGAUCCCGAUACAUUUUUCAGACAUAUACGAUAAGGUUGUUACAAAGCAAGCUUUUAUUAAGGAUCGAGUGUUUCUCGCCUAAUGGAUGGAGACGGCGAAAAAUUUGGAGAGGAGUUGGAACAUGGGCUCGGAAUGGCCGUGUGAGACUUAGGGAAUUAAAGGAUUUGCUUGCUUCCUUUCAGACGACAAAUAAAUCUGAUGAAGUUCGGUGGAGAUGAAAUGCAGGAAAUAUAUUUUCUGUUAAAUCGGUUUAUUUGGUGACUCGAAGGGAAGGCAUCCGAGAUACUAGAUUGAUUCACAUUUGGAAACUUAAAAUAUCUAUAAAGUAAAAAUUUUCUUAUGACUAUCGCUUAAGAAGAAAAUCCCCACGGCUGAUAAUUUUCUGAAAACGGGAUGGUUGGGUAAUCCUCUUUGUGUCCUUUGUGGUGAAGUUACGAAGACAAUGGACCACCUCCUUAUAGGAUGUGUGUACACUAGGUUUAUACUUUUUCGAACCUUAGAGGACAGUCAGUGUUUACAGAUAGUGGAAGAUGUACUGACGAUCUAGAGUAAAAUGAUCAUAAAUAUUAGGUCGGGGGAGAUUCUGUAGGAUCUGAUUACCGUAGUAGCGUGCUGGUAGCUAGUCUGGAAGGAAAGAAAUAACGCAAUUUUUAAAAAUCACUUUGCUGAUCCUCUCUUCGUAGUCGGGCGCAUUGAGGAGUUGGUAAGAGAGUGGAGAGACUUUUGUUGAGCUGAUUAACCUGUCGAUUAUUUUUGUUGUUAAUUUUCUUUUUUUCUUUCUUUAAGCUAUAUUUUCCUUCUCGAGAUCGUGUUGUCUUACUAUUUGUAGCCAAAUUCAUUUUUGAAAUGAAUGAAGCAGAUAACGUGCUACCUAUUUCCCAAAAAAAAAAAAAUUCUGUUCAACAAUAAUAGACCAAAAGGACUAAUAAGUUGAAUAGGACUACACUUUUUUUUGUUAAUCAAACGAUGUGCUCGUGCAUCCAAACAGAAGCAUAAUAACAAUCUUUUAAUUCAAUAAAUAUAAUUUACGAUCUAAAUAAUAUAUAUAUAUAUAUAUAUUAUCAAGCACAAUCUGUUAACGUAUUUUAGGUCGCCUGCUAAGAGGUCACUAAUUAUUAAAUUUUAAGUGUGAAUCCACUACGACUGAGUUUUCUUUUCGGUAUAUAAAGUAUCUUGCACCCGGUGUAUGCAGAGAUUUGGGCCAGUAGGUUGGUUCAUUUGGGACCACCCACAGUAACUGGGCCUAAAUGUUUUAGAUCUUCAAAGCUUGNAAAAUUCUUUAUACUAUAUAAAACAAGAUCAAUAUCUUUGAUUUAAAAUUUUAAUGUCAUAUUAUUACAUUUUGUAAGAUUUUUAUUUUCAGCCGUUGAUUUUGAGCCCCUUCGUUCACUAGGCAAAUGAUAUCGUAAAAUCAUAAAAUUUAUUUUCUAUCUACUUCAAAUACUCUAGAUCAAGUUUAAUGGAGCCGAUCGACGAUUCGAAAGUCGCAACAUCGAAAACGAGCUGGAAGCACGGAAGACUCCGUGCUUCCGAUAGCAUAGUAGCCUCACUCUAUAUAUAUAUAUAUAUAUAUUAUCAAGCACAAUCUGUUAACGUAUUUUAGGUCGCCUACUAAGAGGUCACUAAUUAUUAAAUUUUAAGUGUGAAUCCACUACGGCUGAGUUUUCUUUUCGGUAUAUAAAGUAUCUUGCACCCGGUGUAUGCAGAGAUUUGGGCCAGUAGGUUGGUUCAUUUGGGACCACCCACAGUAACUGGGCCUAAAUGUUUUAGAUCUUCAAAGCUUGGACACUGUCAAACACUUUAUCACUAAAAUAUUUUGUUUUCGUUUAAAAUGUAGUAAAAAUUGCACAUAUUUUUCAUAAAGAGCACGAGAGGAGAAUUAGGAAAUUCUUUUUUUUUUUUUAACCUUUUUCGGUUUUGAAGGAAUGAAUUAAGACAUUUUUUUAGGCACGAGUAAUUAUUCGGCUAGGAAGUAGUAACUUUAAUGUUACAGCAAAUGAUUUUUUUAUUUUUUUUUCUCAUUAGAUUACAAUACCUAAUUUUCUUGAUAUUUCAUUAUCUAUAUAUCCUGUAUCACUGGAAAUGUCAAGAGCCUUAACUUAUGCAUACUGUUGAUGCUUUUAAGCUGAUGUAACAGUACUAACAGCAAAUAAUUUCCAUCAGUUACAUGCAUAAAAAGAGUAAAAUUAUCUCAAGAUAUUCUAUUAGUAAGAACCAAACUGUUUGUGCAUUAACUGUGCGUAUAACACCAAUCAAAAAAAAAAAAAGGUUUCAAUUCAAUCUAAAGAAGUUACCAAGAGAGUAGCUCCUCUACACGUACAUAACAAGAGCAGAAAAUAGUUUAAGCAAGAUCAUAUAUAUUUGCUUUACAAGCUGUUGCAACUCCUCUAUAGUAGUUUAAGCCUCAUUUGAAGCAAAAUAACUCCUCGAAAACAUCUCAAUAUGGAGCAAUUAUAACUCGCAUGCUUCAACUCGCAGUACUAGCCCAGUCGAAAUCCGUUUGGUUAGCUAGUUUAACUUGUUUUUUCUUGUUUUUCCUAUAUGUAAUUCUUUUCCGUUUCUUGUAUCAGUUUUAAGGUAUGUAACUCGUUUAGUUCCUCAAACUUACUCCGCAACUCACUAUUAUCAUCAUCAUCAUCAUCCCACCCAGGAAUGUUAGCAGUAGCCUCGUUCACCAUCUUUACCAAUGUUACCUGCAUCAGUGGCAUCAGAUAAAAAGGUUGGUGGUAGGUUCUUCGAACCGAAAAUUCUAAUUUUGAUAUGCAGAAUCGAAAAUAUCUGCGGUUGUUACGUAAACUGCCGAUUGUUUGCCAUAGCGAAGUAGAUCGCAUAUGCUUAAUGUGUAGAGUUGUUCUAAUAAGCAUUUAGUAGUUUAAAUUUUGGAUGCGAACAUACCACACUUUCAGGAACUCCUGGAGGUGGUAAUGAAAGGUUCCUUGGUAGCGGGCCUUUAAGAUACGAUCUUUUGUCGAAGCGCCAUUCCCCGAUUUUUCCAUAAGUUAGCUCACCCUGAUUUUGCUCAAAAUCAAUGUACCAAAUAUAACACAUCAACAAAAGAAUCUCACAGUAAGUUCAUUAGCUUGUGUAGGGUUGCUAAUUGCGAACAUCAAAACAAAAAAUUAACAAAAUUAUAUAUUUGCUGAAGUAAGAAAGUAGAAACCUUCAGUGAAUAGUCACAACCAUAAGUAUAGUGAAUAAUAAAUGUCUCCCCUACUGAUAAGUCCCAAGGAGGCUGCAAUAAUCGACAUAUUCACAGCAAUUAAGCGAUAAAUUAAAUAAAGAUUAGCUUAAACUUACAGUUAAUUAAUACCUGUAUCAUAAAAUCUUUGUAGAGAAUAUGGUGGACACCAUGCAAUGCACUGGCAACAGCGUAGGCAUACCUGCGGUCUUAGCAGAAAUUCAAAGGCACAAAUUUGACAAGGAACUUGUAAGUUUGUAGCUAUGUACAGCUACAGAAAAAAAAGGGGGUAAAAGAACAUAUCGAACUAGCAUAGACCAUCUAGCAGCGUUUCUAGUUUAUUUGAUUUGAUUUGAUUGAUUUCAUGACUCUUCAAAACAGGCGGUAGUUCACGAAUUAGUUCGGUUCGUACGUUUUAACCAAAAAAUAUGAGAAAGAAAAGGCUCUCACAUUUCUAAAACCCAUCCGAAAGCUUUGUCGGUCUUAUUAUCCAUUUUCAUUUCCAGUGACAUGUUCAUCCAAGUAGGAGCAAUCUUCGUCAGCGCGGACUGCAGCAACAAGUUACAGAUAGAAUCGAAAAAAAGACAUUUUUAUAGCAGAUUUUUAUUGUAACCUAACAAGCAAAUCCAGUAAGAACCACCUUUUUGAUUAUUACAGGAGAAUUUCCGAUAGGAUCGAUGUUCGUGACAGGGCCUUUUUCUUCUGGAUAGUACUUCCUUAGUAUCUUUUCUUGUUUCGCCGGUCUUAUGUAGAAGAAUGGAUACGCGACAGGUCGAUCUUCGCGAACCAAGUUCGGCAAAGGCUUCACAAAUAUGUGAUCUGGUUCUGCCAUUAGUAUGUACCUGUAAUUGUUGUCUUGAUCAGGCAGAAAAUCAACUUCAGAAGAGAAAAAAAAACAACUGCAUGAUACCGCGACGUAAAUCAUAAUGCACUCACUCUUCCUGAAUCUCUGCUCUUUCCAGCCAUUGUACAAAGGCCCAUGGUCUAUUAAGGACAACAUAACCCUGAUAUCACAGUUCAUGAGAAAAAUAAAACUUUAAAUUGAUCAAAUGAAAUUAUAAACAAGUGCGAAUGAAAUUCAGCGAAUAAAUUCUUGUUCUUAUCUCUAGAAAACAAGCAUAAGAACAAUUGUCUAUAUAUGAAAAACAUAUUUUCAAAAAGCGUGUUGUUUGAUAUUAGAAAAUAAGAACUUAGCGCGAAAUUUCUUUUUCUAACUUUAUUGCCGGUUUCCAUUUUUUGUUGAAAAAUUAAUAUUCUAUAUAUACAUUACAUACUAAUUAAUAAUAACAAAAAUAAGACAAAAAAAAAAAAAACAAAGACAAAAGGACGGCAAUAACAUUAGACGAGUUACAAUUCUGCAACACGGGGAAAAAAAAAAAAAAAAAAAAUCAAAGAAGGAAAAUAGUGCUCACCCUAUCGGCGCCCGGAGGGAGGGGGUUGACGACGAAGGUGGGGAUCUCCCCCAUGAGAUCGUCGGCCUCGCCGGAGUGCAGCACCCGCGUAAACCCGCCCAUCUCCUCCGCCCCCGCCCCUGCUGCCUUCGCUCGCUUGUACCUGUCAGUGAAAGUUGCAGCUUUCUAACUAACUUAACUAACUUCACAUACUUACCGUCAUCAGUUUUAACGAUUUUAGGACUACGUGUAACGUGUUAGCUAUUUAUUAUUGGUUAAAAUAUAUUCAAUUUUCUCUACCAUAAUAAUAGGUCAAGAGAUUAAUACGUAGGAUUGAGCCUAAUAAAUUAAGAAUACUGCAUUCAUAUAGAUUGAGUCAGGUCGAAAUUCAUGAGCAUUAUAGUUGAAUAGAUGCACGUUUUUUUGAAUUAAUUGAUUAACACUUACGAUCGACACCACUAUGUGGGACUAAUAUGCAUCAUUUUUGAACCAUACCAGUAAUACAUAAUCCGGCACUGCCACCUGCUGUACGGAUCCGCCAUCGCAGUCAUCGCCACGUGGAACGGCCGCUUCCCGGCGGCCGCCGCCAAUUCUCUAUCGCCCGUGAACCAAUUAAUGCGGCCGUCGUCGUCGGCGACGCUGCUCCCUUCCCUCCUCGGCGGCACGAACAACGCCGCGAAGUUGAACGCUGCGAAGAACAAUCCCAGCCCCGCCGCCGCCGCCAGGAACUGAGAUGCUCUCCCGAUCUCCUUUCGUGCGUUCAUAUCUGUUCGACGAAGAUAGUGUGCUAUUUUGUGAGUGUUAUUUUUUAUUUUUUAUUUUUUAUCUGAAUUACAAGUGAAUCCAAUUAAUGAAUGUAUUAAUAAACGUAAAGAUGUUAAUGCAAGCAAAACGUUCCUCAAACUUUUAGAACAUGGAAGCAACGGUUCACUUAAUGAGGUAGAUAUAUAGGAAUGUUUUUUUUUUUUUUUUUUUUGAGAAAUAGGUAACAUGCUAUUCGCUUCGUUUAUUUUAUUUAGAAAUAAACUUAGCUGGAAAUAUGAAAAAUUAGGAUUCGAACUUGGGCCUCGGGUACCAACCAUCAAGUCCUUUGACAUUUACUCUAGGGAUGGCCGGUAGAUAUAAAGAAAUGUUAUAAAUUUAUAAUGUGGGGUAUAUAUUACACCAACUCAAAAAGGGGAUGGAAUAGGAAUUGCACAUGGAAAGUGGAGAGCCGAGUUGGAAUGUGAAGAUUUUGGAAGACAAUAGAAUCUAAAAUUGUUUGAAUAUGAUUUUCGUGCGCUGUGGGAAGUGCUGCUUUCCUAGUGUUCAAACAACAGGAAUGGAAAAAAAAAUAAAAAUAAAAAUAUUUGCAUAUGUAUCCUCACAAAGUAAUAAAAAGGGAAAACUUCAAAUACCUCUAUUGUGGUUUCACUUUUUCUCACUUUAGUACUAUGUAGUUUAAAAUGUAUUUAGUACCCUAUGGUUUUGCACUUUUUCACUUUAGUACCAUAUGGUUUGAAGUGUAUCAAGUUAGUAUCCUGUGGUUUCGCACUUUAUCACUUUAGUACCCUGUGGUUUAAAAACAAUAGAGUACUAACUUGAUACAAAAACAAAACCACAGAGUACUAACUUGAUACACUUUAAACCACAGGGUACUAAAGUGAUAAAGUGAGAAACCACAAGGGUACUAACUUGAUACACUUUAAAUCACAGAGUACUAAAGUGAUAAAGUGAGAAACCACAGGGUACUAACUUGAUACACUUUAAANAAACUUAUGAGUACAAAGGGCUUUAUACUCAUAUGAGUAUAAUAGCCCCAGCCUAUAUUAUAUAUAUAUAUAUAUAUAUAUAGAGAGAGAGAGAGAGAGAGAGAGAGAGAGAGAAAGUAGGGCUACUAUACUCUUAUGAGUAUAGAGUCUUUCGUACUGAUAAGUUAUUUUUGAUGAUGGAGAUUUCAAAUCAAUGAUUCACUCCGUUAAAUAUGAUCUAAAGUAUUUAAAAUUUAUAAAAAAUAAAUUUUUAUAAUUUUAAAGUCCAUCAAGCGGAUAUAUAUGAACGGUAAAAAUUGAACAACGUCCUAAAAAUAGAUGAUCGGAUUCUUCAAUUUAAUAUCGGAAUUAUUGAUUUUUCUUAGAUAAUGAAUAUAAUUUUCUAUCAAAAAUUCAAUAUUUUUUUAUUUUUUUAUACAAUUAAACUAGCAAGUAUUGAAUACCGGCUGUUAAAAAUUGUUAAUUUUGAAAAUUUUUAAUCAUAAGAUAAAUGAUGUCAAAAAAUUAUAAAAUUUAAUUUCUAAAAAUUUUAAAUGUUCUAGAUAAUGCUUAACGGUAUGAAUCUUCGAUUCGGAAACACGCACACACACUCUCUCUCUCUCUCUCUCUCUAUAUAUAUAUAUAUAUAUAAAUGUAUUCCUCUUGUUAGUGGAUUAGUUAAAGGUGACUUUUCUUCUACAAAAUAAUAAUUAUAUUCUUAAAAAAUAAAAAAUUAAAUGCUAAAUGUAUUUAGCAUUACAACAUUUCAAAUGAUGAAAAUUUUAAUUGUUAACUAACAAUAGUCAACUUGGAUAAAUUUGUAUAUUUUGGAUCUUUAAAGGAUAUAUUUGAUAAUCAAACGUUAGCAGAUAUAAAUUGGCAAUUUCAAAACAUUUUAGAAAAAUAUGUACAAAAUAAUCCCAAAAAAGGGUAGCUGGAAAAGAGUGGAUCAGUGCUUUCAUUGUGGUGUUCAACGUAAGUCGUUUAGUUUUAUCGAAAACUUCCAAAACCUUGUUUAGUAUACUUUAAUAUGUGAAAAAACCUUCUUUUUUUUUUUUUUUCCCGUACCGGGGCCUGGCUGCUCCAUUCCUGUAGCUUAGUUCAUCUUUCUAAUAAAUGAAGCGGGUAUCGUACUACCUUUCCCUCAAAAAAAUAUGUGAAAAAAAACCCGACUUUAUUGGUAGGGAACAAUUAACUCUGGUUUGUUUUGGUUUUUUUUUUAAAAUUUAUUUAAGGUAAAAAUCUACCUAGAAAAGAUAAACCAAAGUGCUGCAUCGUAUAAUGAUAACGAUAAAUCAUUAGAUAAUAAAUUACAAAAUUUCACCAUAAAUUAGUUUGUAAAAUAUAACUUCAACAACCUACAAAUAGUAUUUUUUUAUAAAUGAAAUACAGAUGCAAUAAAAUAUUAUUUAUGAGUCAUAAAUAAGAUAGUAAACUGCAUGUAAAUGCAUUACGUGACUUAAAAAUAGUAAACUAUUUUUCCAAACUUUACCUUGGUUUUUAACUCCAGCUGGAUCUUGCUUCCUUCUGAUAACUGGAUUGGCGAAAUUCCGCUCAGAACUUCUUCGCCAGAUACCUUCAGCAAACCGGAAAGGAAAGUAGGAGACCUGCCGAAUGAGAUGAGAUAAGUUCGACCUUUUGCUGAAGAGUUAGGAUGGAAUGGAUAAAUUCAGGUAUGGUUACGUGGGAAGAGAAUUUCUCCAGUUUUGCUUUUCACUCCUCACACUCAUUCUCCCACUUCAUUGAUUUAGUGCCUUUCCCACAAACCGGAAAAAAAAAAAUCCAAGUUUGACUGCGUAAAUUGUCUGGAUAAUCCUCCUACUAUCCCAAUAUUACAACUCGGUCUAUGUACUCUUUCAUGCGAGCGAUUUAUUUUUUUGAGAUAUAGGUAACACGCUACCCGCUUCGUCUAUUUCAUUUAGAAAAUAAACUUAGCUGGAAAUGUGAAUCAACUAGGAUUCGAACUUGGGAUCUCAGGUACCAACCACCAAGCUCUUUACCACUUGCUCUAGGGACGGUCGGUAUGAGCGAUUUAUUAAUUAGUCUCUCGAACAGACUAUGUGUUAACAAACAGAAAAAUACCGACCGUUCCUAGAGCAAGUGGCAAAGAGCUUGGUGGUUGGUACCCGAGAUCUCAAAUUCGAAUCCUAGUUAAUUCACAUUUCUAGUUAAGUUUAUUUUUAAUGAAAUAAACGAAGCGGGUAGCGUGCUACCUAUCUCUCAAAAAAACAAACAGAAAAAUUCAAACACUAUAUAUGCCCUAAUGUUAAUUAAAAUAUAUUCAUUACUUAUUUCUUUUAGAUCGAUCUAUCAGGUAACAUGAUAUUAGAACUAAUUCUAAACCAUUUCAAUUCAAGAGAUCCUAAUUAUCAUUAAUUUCCUUUUUAUAUGUAACGUAUAACGUGAAUAUUAAGUAUAAAAGUUUGAAACAGGUUUGUAGCUAUUAGUGUAAAAAAGUAGUUUUUUUUUUUUUUAAUUUAGAGUUGUAAUCAAUGCACAUAAGUUUCAAAUUUUUAUAUUCUAACUUGAACAUCGACUACUCUAAAACAUAACAUAUUUGAAAAUACUAAUUAAUGUAUGUAAUGUUGGUUUUCCUGUCUUAAAUAUGGUGACAAUGGCCAACUGUGCACUAAAAAAAUUUAAUUAGCACACAAUCACUAGCAAUAUUCUAAUGAGUCUAUAGAAUUAAUCAUCUCUAUUAGAAAUAAAUAAAUUAUUUUCACCAUCGUUUUCAAUGCAUGGCAAAAUAAAACUAAAAAUAGUACAUGAUAAUGGAUUGUGUAGAUCAUCCGAAGAACUAGUUUGAGUAUUGAGUUUUCUCAUUUUCCCAGUGUUGAGAAAAAUUUAUUGUGGAUGGUUAGUUAUAUAUUGUGCAUUAAAAAAGGUUGAUUAGUUGGAAGUAUUGAAUUUUCUUGAGAAAAAUUUAGAAUGAUUUUUUAGGAUUUUUAGUACUCUGAUUUUUCCACUCAUCGAGAUGUACAGAUGAUUCCUUUGAAAGGAUAGUAAAAUAGGGAUUUUUCCACGCAUAAAAUAAAUCUAGAAUCCUUAGAAGUAAGCAUUAAAAUCUAAUUCUAGAAUCGUUAGAAGUAAUUUUACAAUAUCAAAAUCGUUAGUGAUCAGCGACUGAGAUUGAGCCUUCAAUAAUUAAUUUCCUAAUGUCCUCGUAAUCUCAAACAGAAAACCAAAUAGUUCUUGGUAGGUGACAACAUAAUUGAGAUAUUUUAUUGAUUAAAUAUUGAGAAACACUUGAUUCCCACUUGUUCUAACCAAUCUCCAUUUACAGACUAAGUUUGCAUCCUAUAUAUAAUUUCACAAGCAUUUCGUUUCAUCCUAAAGAAUAUAAUGCUUGCUUUUUGUAGAUCUCUCUAACAAAGAUUUCUAAACAUGCAUCUUUCACCACAAACUCUUUGCUAGUUAAGGAUGAACAGCUGCGGCCGAAGGCGAAGUCCGAGAGGUGAGGGACGGCCUCAUCUUCACGAUCUGCUCCUCGUCGACCCCCAUACGCUUCGCAGACACUCCUGCUUCGAAGAAGCGCUUGACGGCGCCCCGCAUGUAGGCGAUGCCUUCGCGGACAUUCAUCUGCUUCGCUAUCCUUUCUUGCAAGCUCGUGAGGAGGUGAUCGCCGUUGAGCACCGACGCGAGCUGCAUGAGCUCCUGCUGGAACUCGCUCAGCUUGGCUUCUUCGUUGGCCUCGCCGUCCCUGAUCUUCACAGGCAUGGGGAGUUCAACUGCAUUAAUUUGACGAUCGAGAAACCAGUUAGAAUUCGUAUCAUCAACAUGAUUGAUUAUAUUGAGUAUUUGAGUAUUGACACAGAAGAGAAACAUGUUGUUCAUGAGUUCAAGUUGUUUCAAGAAACAUGUUGCUAUUAGUGACAUUGACACAAAAAGCUCAUUCUAUAUAUAUUCUGAGAAUUUGUUAGCUAUCUGAUCACCUGGGCAAUCCGUCCUAGGUUCGGUCCGCGUCUGCAAAAUUCCCUCAAACGUUCCAGCCCAUGCAUCUCUCUUCGUCAAGUAAGGCGAUGAGAGAUUGAAAAGAUUCUUUACAGUUGCAGGAAUGGACGAAUGCUCAUACUCCGAGGUUGCGGUCGGAACACCAUUCGGACCGUGAACAACUGCAACCAGUGAAUGGUACACCGUCAACAUUCAUUGCUUUUAAUACGAAAGAAGAAGAAGAAGAAGAAGAAGAAGAGAACACGUCCUCAACUCAUCGAUUCCGACAUUACUCACCGGUUCCCUUCUCAAUCCAGGGUGAAACCAUAAUCGUCGGAACCCUCACUCCCAAUCGAUCGAACGUAAAGAAGAAAGGGUCCGGGCCAACAAUGUCGUCGGGGCUGGGAACGCCCUGGACGGGCGUAGGAACAUGAUCAAAGAACCCGCCGUGCUCGUCGUAAGUAAUAAUCAAGAGAGUCUGGUUCCACUGGGGGCUGGCACGCAGGGUCUCGUAGAUCUCCUUGAUGAACAGCUGGCCUUGGUAGACGUCGUGAGACGGGUGAUCGUCGUUGGCGGGAUGAGCCUUGGAGUCCAAGUAGUGCUGCUCGAUGACGGCGUAGUUGGGGAGAGCGCCUUUGCUCGCAUGUUCCUUGAAUUUUCCGGCGUAGGAGUAGAACUUGGUGAUGUACUUGAGCUUGCGAAGGCUACGGUAGAACAAAACGGCCGGCACGUCUUGGUAGUAUACGCCGAAAGAGAGCCCCGCGUCGUGGAUGUUGUCGAAUAUCGUCCUUUGCGGGUAGCCCUUCGCCAGUAAGCUGCGAGGAAUUCUACACUGUCACACUUGCACCACGUCAUCAAUAACAAGCUAAUCACAUUUCUUAUUUUUAAAUAAAAGUAUAAUAAAAAUAUUUUUUUACAAUCAUGAUGGGACAUAUACCCCUAAAAGGAUACUUUUGAUUGGUUUGUUACACCACGUCACCAAUAUACCAGUUGUAUUCUAGAAUUUUUCGUACGCUGCAGCAUCAUUAUAAUUAUCCUUGUCAUGUCUAUUAUUAGGCGAUCGAAUUUCUACAAUUGCAAGAUCUGUUUUUCUACCGAUGCAUUGUUACAAACAUUGUUAGCAUCACAUACGUAAUGUAAUAAUAACCAAUUAAUUUGCGUAGUAAUGCUUUAUUUUACUACAAGUGAGAAGUACUAAUAGAAAAGGUACUUAUUACUGCAUAAACCAGAGUUCAGUAAACUUAGUGAAUUUGACGAACUCCUCUAUCUACAAUUUUGACCUUUUUUUUUAAUCUUUUUAUACUUUUAUUUUAGUACAACUUUAGUCCAGUUUUAUUAGGUCUCGCACCGAAGAGCUUAAUUCGUGACGCAAAUGGUCAACACUUGGUGGCGCACCGUAGACUAAAUUAAUUGGAUUGUUGCGUUAGUACCCAAUCCUAUUGAAAUUGAAGUCCCCCGCUAUAAUCACGGAUGUCGACAUAACUACUACUUUUUGAUUAUGUUGAUAACAAUUAGGUGCGCUCCAGUGCGUUAGCUCAAUCUUAUAUAACCAUGCACAAAAGGUAAAAAAAAAAUAAAGGAAAAAAAAAAAAAAAGGAAAAGUAGCUUUUUCCGUCCACAAAUUGCGCUUGCAAUAAUUUUGCUUCUUAAAGAGCUUAAUAAUGAUGAUGAUAACGACUCACAUGGGACGCAAUCUCAUGAUAAACAGUAGCUAUCUAUAUUCCUUUCAUCAUCAACAUCGAAGUCACUGCAUAAUUAAAAAUUGGGACCCACUGAGGUUGCCCUCUGAAGAUAACAAAAUAAAAAAUUGAAAGCGCAAUCUCAGACAUUGAUAAUUUGCGCAAUCUCAGACAUUGAUAAUUUUUUCAAUUAGUAGUAUCUACUCAAUUUCUCACACUAUAGAAUUUGAAUUCAAAAAUUACUACUUAGACCGACCGUUUCUAUAUCAAGUGACAAAAAAUUUGAUAGUUGGUGUCCAAGAUCUCAAGUUCGAAUUAUGGUUAAUUCAUAUUUUCAGCUAAAUUUAUUUUUAAAUGAAAUAAACAAAGCGGAUAGCGUACUAUCUCUCUCCAACAAAAAAAAAAAAAAACAACUUAGAAAUUGUACUGUUUUAUGUAAAAAUUUGUAAAUUUGUAUAAUAAUUUGAAUCUUUUGUACUGAUGAUGAUGACUAUAAUUUUAUAUUUAAAAAUAUAAAAAAAAAGUUUAAAUCGAGUUUUUAUCUCAAAUCUCCCCCCACCGACAACAGGCGCGGUGUGUGCGUAUGUCAACAUUUUUAUUUUAUUUCAGUCCUCUCCUUAAUCUAUCUAAACCAUGUACUGACCGGGCCCUACCUCUGUCAAAUGGAGUUGGCCAGCGUGACAUACUUCCGUUCUCACAUAUCGAGAUUCACUCCCACCUCAUCAAUCAUUGCAGAUACAAACAAAUAAUAAUAAAAUGAUUACAGAUGUAAAUUUUAUUUUUUUAUCUUAAAAAAAAUAAAUCAUAUAUUUUUAUUUUUUUUUAAUGUUGAAAAAAAAGAAAUAGCUCAGUUGGAUAGAGCGAGCGGAGUACCUGGCGUCGUUGCUGGUGGCGCCGUGGGAGGUGGCGGAGUGGACGAACAAGCGGUUGGGCUGCGUGGACGAGGGGACGGAGGCGAACCAGCGGUCGAAGACGGCGAACUCCUGGACGAGGGCGGCGUAGACGGGCAGCAGGUCGGGGCGGAAGCCGUUCAUGACGGCGGCGGUCAUGUUCUCCGACAUGGAGCGCGCCUGCUGCACGAACCCGUUCAUCGGGGCCGGCGCCGCCGACGUGUCGUUGGACCCGAACACCUGGUCGCGUAUGGCCUGGAACGAGUGCCCCGGGUCCGGGUCCACGAACUGGGCCCCGUCCGCGAAGUAGACCCGCGCCGCGUCCGGGUCCGACGCCGACACCGGGUUCCACUCCGACCCGUCCACGCCGUUGAUUUCCGGGUUCCGACCCUUCAUCCACCCCAGCAUGUGGUCGAACGACCGGUUCUCCAUCACCACCACCACCACCGUGCUUAUCGGGUCCGCCCCAUUUCCCAAUCCCCCCACGCCCGUUAAUACCUCCACCCAAAACAACAACCAAAGCAGCUUCAUCAUUUAUCAAUGUCUCCUCCUCCUCCUCCUCCAUUUCCCAAUCCCCCCACGCCCGUUAAUACCUCCACCCAAAACAACAACCAAAGCAGCUUCAUCAUUUAUCAAUGUCUCCUCCUCCUCCUCCUCCUCCUCCUCCCUCCUCCUUUGGUGUGUAUGUGUGUGUGUUCAAACUACAAACUAUUCAGACAUAGCUCAACAAUCGUAGCUAUCUGUGGGCGUAAUCACUUGCCAAGCUAUGCAACUNGAGGUUGGAGUGUACCAGAAACCCGAGUAAAGAGGGUUGUGCGCGUGACCGACUCAAACCUCUGUAGCUUUUUAUCGGUGGGUUCUUUUCUUUUGUCUUUGGUGAAUGUAUCUACCUAUCUAUCUAUACAUAUAUAUAUAUAUAUAUAUAUAUAUAUACACACACACACGAAAAGGAGAGGGACAGAGGGAAUAUGUAAUUGUUAUUUUGAUUAUUGUUUAAAGAUUCGCACAAAAAAUGUGCAUGUGCUUUACUUUGCCGUGGGGGUGCUAAUUAAGUGGGAUCACAUAAAAUAUUCUAAUUUUUACAUAAUAUGGAGAGCAUCUUUAUCUAUAAAUUUAAAUUUUUUAUAUUAGCUAAUUUGAACUCUUUAAUAUAGUAUCCGGAAUUGGUUCACAUUUUUUAUAGUUGUGUACUUGUGUGGCCAAUAAUUUUUUAAAUAAUAAAAUGAAUACGGACAAGAUAUUUAUAAAUUCACAUAAAACCAAAUGGGCAAAUUUUAUUACUACUUUAAUACAUUUGAUAGGGGGACAAUCUAAUUAAAAGCACAUCUAAGAGAUUCAUUAGGUUUUCAGAGAUUGGCAAUAAAGAUAAAGAUAAAGAAUAGUAGUAGUAUAAUAGGAUUACGAGUUGCAUGGGUGAAGUUUAUUUUUUGACACGUACCACGUAAAUGAUGAGGAUGUAAGUAGAGCAUUUAAAAUCUCUGGUUGCAACUAACACCUGUGCACGGCCUAGUUAGUUGGUCUUCAAUUUACUGUUGUUUUUACUUUUAUUAAAGUAUUUUUAUACCAUACAAAUAUCUAUUAUGAACCGAAUGGAAUGUCGAUGAACUAUUCUAAAUAAUGGUGAUAAAUUAUAUUUUAAUUUAUUUAUUAUGGUUGGUUAUAGAGUGGUAAAUUAGUGUCAGUAAACUUUUUUUUUUUAUAUUUGUUUUGAUAGAGAUUGGAAAGCCAAUACUGUUAGCUAUUUAUUAUUGGGUUAAAAUAGGUAUAACAUCCUGUCCUGUGACAAUAGACUUAGGAAACUAAUUACUUGAGUUGGAUAAGCCUAAUAAGUUGAGUGGAGAUGCGGUUUACAAGAGAUCUAAUGGCAAGAAGCCUAAUAAUAGACCUAACGUCUAAAUGGGUUGAGUCAGAUCGAAGCCUGCGAGCACUGUGGCUGAGCCUUUAAGUGCGAUAGAUGCGUCCUUCCUAUCAGUAUAUACUUUUGGAAUAGUUAAUUAGUUAGCGCUUACGAUUCACAAAUACGUUUCGUUUUCGUUGGGCUUUGUCGAGUGAGUUGUGUGGGGCACCGUUUGGUGGUGCGUCCACACCACACCAUAGCCAGAUAAGCAAAUGGAACAAAAGUACUUAUGGGGAGGUUCCAAACGGGACUCUUUCGUUCACCACCAGUGUGGCUUCAAAAUUCGUGCCAAUAUGGAUGGAAUAGUUUUAUAUCAAAAGUUUUUUCAUAAAAUUUUUGUUGUAAGAUGCUCUACAUGGGCAUUUCCCUUCCCAGCAAAGCUUAGAGAUCAAGAGGAUGGAUCACUGAACGGUAGUGACAUCGCCGUAGCCUAAAAUUCAGUUCCCACUUCACUAUAGUGAGCUUAAUUUAAAUUUAAUCUAAAGUGUUAUAGAUAGGAUCAACAAAAGCCUACAUAUAAUUUCCAAUGUUAAGCCGUCUUAUUAUUAAUAAAAUAUAUUAUGUUAAAUAAUAUGAAAUAAUUAUUUGUCCCCAAGAACUAAUGCUACCGGUGAUCCAGAAAGCGAUAUUUUAAAUAUUUAUAUUCAACAUAAUAAUAGUAUUAUAUCAAACAGAUUAAUAGUAUGAACGGAAAGUUCGAAUCCUAGUUUUUUUUUUUUGAGAGAUAGGUAGCACGCUACCCGCUUCGUUUAUUUCAUUUAGAAAUAAACUUAGCUAGAAAUGUGAAUCAACUAGGAUUCGAAUUUGGAUCUCGGGUACCAACCACCAAGCCCUUUGUCACUUGCUCUAGGGACGGUCGGUAGUUCGAAUCCUAGUUGAUUCGAAGUUUCCCUAGAACAAGUGACAAAGGGCUUGUGGUUGGUACCUGAGACCCAAGUUCGAAUUCUAGUUGAUUUACAUAUCCAAUUAAGUUUAUUUCUAUAUGAAAUAGACGAAAUGGGUAGCAUGCUACCUAUAUCUCAAAAAACAUAGUAUGAACGGAAAGUAGGAGUUGUGCUAUAAAUAGACGGCAAGGACGAUGCACUGCGUCACAUCAAGUGAUAUAUUUCUGUUAUUGAUAGGCGACGUGAAAGGAAUAAUAAUGUAACAGCCAUGCUUAAAUUGGCGCCGUUGCGUGUCUUCUAACAUCUUCCAUGACAAUGACUCUCAAAAUAUCACAAAUUUUGCUUGAUUCAUGUAUACUUAGGUACUCAGCAAAAAUGACAAACCGAAGAUCAAACCUUAAGCAUUUACAUUCUCACAAAUGAAUCUUUACAAAAGUUGAAAGAAGAAAAAAGAAAUCUGCAAUCAGAACUGCGCAUGAUGCACAAAGUCGGAACACGAAGUGAAUGGAAAUUGAUGACUUGGAUCGAACAUUUACAAUAGCAUGGAUAGAUACAAAUGGUGUCUUGCUAUCGCUCUCGCACUCUUUCUCAUCUUGGGCUGUUCCACGGAGGUGAUGAUUUGUACACAAACCCUUGGGAAGGGACGGCUCCGUGACUUAAAUCGAGACUAUGGAGUUGUUCGAUCAGCUGCGAGCGCCGCUCCUUGAAGAAAUCGAGUCGCGUCGUGAGCUCCACCAGAGUAGAAGAUGCCACUAACGGCUGCCUCGGAUACCCGAUACCCUAUUAAGGAAAAACAAAAGAUAGACUCAUUUUCAUUACUGAAAUAAAAGGUACAUGAUCACAAUUAUGAUAAAUUCGGUUUGCCCACCUCACUAAUUUUAGGGUUAGUAGCAGUGACAUCAGAGAUUGAUUCCACCGAUAUACUCGCCGAUGCCUCCGUCCUUGUUGAUUCACUUGAAUCCAAAGAAUAUUUCCUCGAGAGAUGCUUUGAAGUAGCGUAAGUUGGCAUUUGCUGCUUGGUGCUCUUCCAAUCUAUUCCCGACGACCCCUCCUGUAUGUUAAGAAAAAAAUGGUUUUUGCAUCGGUAAAUCGCUGAGAUAAAGGCUUAUUGUACGCCAUAGAUUUUUCACAAUAAAUUAUUCAUGUAACCAUUUUAAUGUAUACACCACAAAAUUCAUAGUAAAGUGUAUUUCUCCAUUAGUGUAAUAAAACUAUUAAAAAUUUCAGACAGAACUUGAAACAUUGUCCGGUCAGUAUGCAACAGGUUCUAAAUAAUUCAAUUAGCUUAACGUGAUCACUUGGAGCCCAGGGGAUCACAUAAAGUGAAUUGAGUUAAAGAAUGGAGAAGCUACGGAAUGUAUGUAAAGCAGCGAAGAUGAAGUAACUACCAUGCAAAUGUGACUUACUAAGAUGUCAAGUGUACAUUUAAAAGCAAAUGAAAAGUUCAAAAUUGCUAGCUCGCAAGAGAGAAAUAGGGAAAGUACCUCAUUCCUUUGCUUCUUCUCAUGGUUGCAGAAAGCAAGGCUCAUAUCGAAGUCAUGCUGAACAGUCUUCCUGCCACAUUAGAAACCCAAAAUAGUAUAUCAACAAAAUAAUAUCCGUUAAUAAGGGUCACCGCUCACCAAAAUAAUACAAUUUCUUUACAGGAUCAAACAGGCAAUCAAUAGAAGCAGCAUGCAUAAUGAUGAAAAGAACAGUACAAACCUUAGCAUUCAGCUCCAGAAAGUAUUUUAGAUAAAAUUGGAUUUGAGAUAAUCAAAUACAGCAUCUGACCCAGCAAACAGUAUCUUAUUAAUGAAAUGUUAUUUAAGAAUAAUCAUGCAUCACGACUUCCAUCUUUUGCAAGAUUGUGGCAGUUUUGUUUUUAAAUCACUUGAUUGCUCUUCCUUAAGGAUCUAGGAUCAGAGUAGAGUAUUUGGCCUCAUUGAUUGGCACUUGGAUUCUGAUGUCACUUGUGAUAUCAUGGUGGAGCAGAACAAUGAUUGGAGGAGAGAUAAAGAUUGAAUGGAAGAUGUUCUAUCAGUUCAUGCAUGAUUGAAGAAACGUAGCAGAUUCUAUAAGAAGAAAAAAGGUUUCGUGUAAAUCUGAACACAAUACAAUAAAUUAAGUUUCACCAGUCUUACUGUUGUGAGAUUGGAGCUGGAAAAUUUUGAUAGUGACCGCUAGCAUCAACAAAAGAUCCAUAGUGAUGCUGGCGUUGUUGGUUAAGUUGGAGAUGCAGUUCCGCGACCUUCUUUUUCAACCUUGCAACAUCUGCUUCAGCUAGGGCAAUCUCCUCAAGUUCUGCCCGUGUCUUUUAGAUAUAUAAAACAAGAGGUCAUGUAUGAUGUAUCCAUUACACCAGUAAUAGAAUUCAUAGGAGCCACAAGAUACAUACCUUCGAAUCCAUAGCACGUGAGUUUGAAAACUGUUCAGAAGACAUGCUCAGCCCAACCUCUAAUGCAGCUCUAAGAUCCCUCUCAGCUUGCAACUGCUCUUGCAAUCUAGAGACCUACACAAGUAGCCAAUAGAGAGUAUUAGACGUUUUUCCAGAUAGUUCAAUCCCACAAGUGCACGCUACACCUAGUAUCUCAACAUAUUUGGCAUGUGCAAAUAAAAUUAACUUCCUGAACGGAAAAUUAGAACUUCGUUGGCACAGCUGAAGCUUCUAUAACACUAGUGCUGUAUGAAUGGAGCUAUUCAAAGAAGCAUUAAUAUUUUUCCUAUCAAAUUCUCCUUUAUACUUUCUUCUCAUGGCAAGAGCAGAAAUUUCACUUUGGAGCUUUUGCUUUUGAGACCGGUAAGCUCAAUUUAUCUUCCUAUCACAACAAAAGCUCCAAAUAAUUUAUUAGCUAGAAGCUUCAGUUUUCUGGAAAAGAGAAGUGUUCCAGAACCAGGCCAGGCAUUUAAUCUAUUGUGAUUUUCACCCACAUCAUGUACAGUUCAGUCAUCUCAUCAGUUUGGUGAACCAAGAAUAGCCAAAGGCUAAUGUGGAGGGUCACUGGUCACAUAACUAAGAGUGCAAAGCACAGCAUCUCUAAAUAUAACAAUAAAUAUUAAACUUAUCUAGUUAAUGUCUAUGUUACAGAUUAAGAAAGCAUAUGAAGCUAAAAUGCUCAAUAUGCCGAGAUAAAUAAGGACAUGACCAUCAAUGUAUAGCCAGAAAGCUAAUAGCCUAUCAAUGGUGCACAAGUAAGGGGUAAAAGAAAAAUGCAUACAUCUUGUUCUAGAGCUAAACGACGCUCAUGCAAGGCCUGUUUUCUUCUUUCCAAACUAGCUUGGAGAAUAGCAUUCCCUUUGGCCUGAGAAAAGUAAUUUCCAUCUCAUGUUAAAUGUUUCAGUUAUUUUAUCACCUUAAGAAAAGAUAAUCUCGCAAAUAAAAUAUUGUUUUAUACCUCCUUAGCAAUCCUAAUCUGGAGAUCAUUCUUUGUCAUCUCGAGCCUAUGAAUAGCAAGCCUGAAAAAGAAGUACAGUCUGAGAAACGGCAUAAAUUAAACUAUUUCAACAGUAAAUCAUUAAGUUCCAAUGAGUGCUUCACCAUCCCAAGUCGUAAGAAAAUUAAAUCCAUAAUUCAACAGUCCUUUGAAGAAAUUAGGAGGAGAGUAAAUUGUUUUUUUUCCCCCUAGGAAUUAGACUACUCCCUUGUACAAUCAUAAAAUUUGCGCGAGUUAUCAGACUUUAGAGGAAGACAAAGACAGUGAAGAUCAGAAAUCCAUAAGAUUAUCCAACAGGUUGGAUAGAAUUCAAGAUAAUGAUGCAUAUUUCAGGAAAGCACACUAAAUGAAACUCGAAAAGAACUUACUCUUCUUCACCAGAUGAAUCAACUGAUUCCAUUGGCUGGUUCUUUCUGGCCUACAAUAUUUCAAAGCAGAAUCAACACCAGAAAGCUUUAAAUUAAUUCCAAAAUUGAGUAGCAGACGACUAAUAGAGCCCAUAAUCCAGGAUUAAGAAAAAUGUAACAGAAAAUGAGAGAUUUUAUAAAUAAUAUUUCCAAAUAUAAAGAGGUUCAAAGCUCAAACACAGAAACAUGUCCGUCUAAUUCCAAGAGGAACUAAAAAGAAGAAAAAUACAACUAGAUCAAAUAAAAAGUAAACAAAUAAUCAUAAAAGGACAGUUUUAAAUUAGAAUUAAAAAAUUCACAGUUCAAAUUUACAAUGCAAAGUGAUCCUAAAGUACAUGCCGAUUGACUUACAUUGUUUCGUCCCCAGAAGUUGGUUCGCUUCACUUGUUUGUGCAAUCCAUUUUGUUUACUUGGGUGUCUGUCAACAAAUUUCUCCACUUCAUAAGAUGGGAAAGAAGUUCCAGGAUCCAUAUUAGACAGGAUCUCUCCCAUCGACUGCGGAGUCUCACGGAUCGGUAACCGACUAGGUGUGCCUUUUUCAGUCACUGCCAUUUUGAUGUUAGUUGAACCAAGCUCAUCAAAACGAGCUUGUAGAUCUUGACAUAAAUCUGUCUUCGCAGCUGAAUCUUGAUUAUCUCUAGGUGAUUGGGCAUCUGAGCCAUCAUCGGCAAAAGCCUGGUUUUCAAAUUAGAAAGAUAGAAACAGGAUAAAUGAGCAGGCAGUCAGAAGAGACAAGCUUAUAUGAGGCAGAAAAGCAGCAAACAAAACAAUAUUGAAACAUGUUAUUAAAAAACCAGCAAGCUCGAGUUAGAUAUAAACUAAUAUAAGAAAAAAAAAAGGACCAAGUAACUAAGUUAUUCUACAAGGAAUGUGCAAAAACAUAAUAAAGCAGACCAGAAUCACUAAUCGAAGAAUUUUCUAGUGACAUAUACAUAAUCAACAAGUUAAUCGAAAAGUUAGAUGUCACCAGCAAGGGAAAAGAGUUGGUUCUUAGUAGCUUCAGGUAAACAAGCAUAAAAGCGUGCUGUGCACAAAAGCAAUUGGCCCAUAACUUAAUAAUGUCGCCAAAGACAAUAAAAAAUGCAGUAAGAAAGCCAUAUUUCCCUUAAAUGUACUUGUAGAAGCAUCAAUGUGAAAAUCAAACAUCUAGCACAAUUUGAACUGCAAUCAACCUUCAUCUCUAGAGUAAUGGAAGUAGAUACUACAGAAACAAAAUGAAGCAUCAAGAUAACUACAAAGACAUCACAAAGUUGAAAAGCUGUAAACAACAUGAAAAGAAAACCUUAUAGUCAUAGAGAUCACUGCCAUCAUAUCCACUGCUUUCACUUAGUUUUCCACUAAGAACACGUUCAUCAUUCACUUCCAGAUCUACAUUUUCUGCAUCAUGAUAUCCAUUUUCCUUCACAUCUGUAUUUUCAUCAUCUACGGAAUCUUCACUGCCACUCUCUUCAACUUGAGAGUCCGGAGACGUAGAGCCUCUAUGAAGAUUAUCAUCCUGGAAAGGGGAAGAUUUUUUUUUUUAAAAAAAAACAGUGGCAAUAAUAGCACAACUUGAAUAAAAGAUGCAGGAAGACUGUUAAAUAUGGCUUGGACAAUUUCAAAGAAGAACAAAUUAGGAUUCGAAAGAUUAUGUCUACUUUCACUGCAAAUGUAUAGAAAGACUACUAACUAUAUCACAUCAAAGAAAAAAGGGAUUACAACUGUGAGCCUGUAGAAUUAUAAGACAGGUUCUGUUAAAUUAUACAAUAUUUUAAAAAACAGGUUCUAUUCAGGUUCUGUCAACCUAUAUAAGACAGAGAAGCUUCUUGUGAUUUGGUACAAAAAAUUAAAAUCUCAAGCUGUUCAGUCUAAGAUAAGUCAUAUAAUCCAUUUAACCAACCAAAUAUCACUUUUGAGACUAAAAGAUAUCAACAAAUACAAAAAUAAGAUAUAAAAAAUCAACCCUCGAAGUUGGCAAGAAUCUUACGUCGAAUAUAUUCUCAUAUUCCUCCAAGAGGGUCGUGAUAAUUGCUUGCGCAUUAUUAGCAGCAGCUGCUGCAGCAAGAAGCUGAGCAGCAUUAUCACCAUUCAUAUCGAAUUCAUCCUCCAUUUCACAUUCACCAGCCAAAAGCGGCCGCAACAAAAGAGGGGCCAUGCAAGUAGCAACAGCUGACGGACCCAUUCGAUUCUCUGUAGCAUGAGAAGUAAUAAUGUGCAUCAUCUUCAAAACCCUGAGAUUCAAACACACUAAGUGGUUAAGAAAUAAUAUUAAGAUUUUAAAAAACUAAAUUGACCAACCAACCAGAAAAUGUUAAAUAACCAACAGCUAAUUCGAACUUUACUGAAAAUCGUUAGUUACUUCCUUAUAUCACCAGAUUAAAACUACCAUCUGCUUAAAUUAAACAAGCAAACCACGCAAUCUACUGAUAACAGCAUGAUAUUUAAAACUUCCAGUAAGCAAAUUUAACAGGAAUUAAUCGUGGUGGUAAACUUAAUAACAAUCACAGUGAGCUACAUGGAAAUACCACAUCCUUCAACAACUAAAUCCUUGAAAAGAAAAAAUCUUCAAUAUUUGUUCAAUUAGCAUGUCAGAGAACAGAAGCAGCAUCUUAACCAAAGACUUAAAUGCUCAUCGGCAUGGGCCGUAUCUACCGUGCCGUAUCAUGCCAAAAAGAUAUCGGCACAUACAGUCCUCAUGCCGAUGGUACAGCUCAAAACCCUCUAUUCUUCAAAUUAAUAAGUAAUUUUAUCAACAAAGUUCAAAAAAAUUGAUAAAGAUACAAAAUAAAUUGUUAAACUAUUUUGUUGCUAAAGAAUAUAAAUAUUUCAUGCCAUUAUGUGUCGGCACAUAUAUUUUUUGUGACUGGCACACAUCGGCACGCACCGUGCUUGCAAGUUUCCAGCACGACCCCGUGUCACCAAGGAUUUAAGUAUCGUGGCAUGGGAUCGUGCCGGAAACUUGCUGGCACUGUACGGCACGGUGCGUGCUAGGCCGUGCUGAUACGUGCUGUUCACAAAAAAUAUAUGUGUGCUGACAAGUAAUAGCAUGAAAUAUUUAUUUUCUUUAGCAACAAAAUAUGCAAAUUAUUUGUUAUGCAUUUUUAUCAAAUCUUUUGAACUUCAUUGAAAAAAUUACUUACUAAUUUCAAGAAUAGAGGGUUUUAAGUUGUGUCAUCGACACGGAAACAAUAUCGUGCCGAUAUCUUGCUUGCACGAUAUGGCACGGUGGAUACAACCCGUGUCUAUGGGCAUUUUAAUCCUUGCAUGUCAUGGCACUCAAAUCCAUGAUCUUAACACGAUUUCAAUGUAGCAAGUAAUGCACUAUACUAGAAUAACUAAGUUUAGGUCUAGACAGAGGAUGCAUAUGGAUAAGUGGGACUCAUCAUACAGAUGAACUAUCAAAAAUGCCGGCAUAUUGAGAGCAUUGCCACUUUUGUUUUGCACAGAGAAUGUUCAGUAAUCAAUACCAUGAAUAGUUUUAACGGCUUCUAGAUAUACAAGAAUAUAGAUAUAACAUAGAAUUGGAAAUAGUACAACAGAUAUUACUAUAACAGAAAUUUACAGAUAAAUUCUAUCAGAAAGGCAAGGUGGGAGAUAACCUCUGCAACAGCCGUCUAUUUGGUUCUGGAAAUGCCUCUGACAUUGCAGUCCGCAUAGCAUCAAUGCGAGCUUCCUUCUUUUCCAGUUCUUAACAGGAAAUUUUACAGGAAAAUAAGAUAAUUAUAAGGAAAUGAAUCAACAUGUAUCUAAUCAAAAUAUUAUGGUAAAAUAAGCUUCCUUCCGGGCCAAAUUUGGUUGGGAGAUAAAACUGGUUGUGUUUUAUAACAGGCUAAAUCUGGUUGGGACAUAUCGUAAGAUAUAUGACCUUUUGGGUUUAUUAAAGGCUUAAGAUAUAAAGCUUGUAUCAAAGAACAUGAUAGAGAGAGAAAUUCAUAAAAAAGAAGAAACGCAACCAAGAGAACUUAUAUGACCUUUCUGGAAGAGCAGAAGAGAUGUACUUACUAUAAGCUUCCAGUAAUGCAGUACAGCAGGAAGCAGGAACUGGAGAAGAUGGUAGCUCCCGAAGAACAUGCUAGACAAACAAUUUCAUAGGGUCCCAAAAUUUUAAAAAAACUCAACUAAGCUUGAAUGAAAUAAUCAGCAAACUAGGUACUCAUCAAUGCAAGGAGGGGGGGGGGGGGGGGGGGGUGGAACCUUAACACAGUCACCAACAACAUGAGCAUCUUCAUCUGCUGUGAACUCAAUCCUACCUGUUAAUUGAUUUAAAAGAAAGCAUGCCUAUAACCAAAAGGAUCACAUUUGGACAGAUUUCUCAUCCUAUAAACAUACUUUUGAGAGAUCAAAUGAGGUCACAAGCCACUGUUGUCUAUAAACUACAGUCAAAAUAAUGCAGAUAAAAGUAGAGUCCACAGAAUAGAAAGAUUUGAAACCUUGCUCAUACUCUUGCACUCUCCGAUCAACUUCCUCAACAUCAGCUGACUGACGCAAUAUUCCUUCUACCUUUGUUCCUGUAGCAGAAUGUUCACGCAACUAAUAGUUUACUUCCAUAAAUCCACCCAAAAUGGUUCGGCUAAAAAAAUAUUGCUCCAUGCACAUCUUAGGAAUUGAAUAUAUUUAAUGAAAGACAACUAGAAAGCAUAACCACUAAAUUUUUAGCAGGCAGUUCAACAAUAACUGCGAAUGAUACUACGAAAAAGAAAAUUAAAAGCAGCACACGUGAGAAGUAAAUAGUAUAAACAGGUUGUAGCACUUGUUGGCUAUGACUAAUAUGAAAAUUCAGGAGUAUCAGGAUAACAAAAACAUGCUAACUUGGAUUGCUGGGAUUGCAAAGCUGAAGAUUACUAAAUUUUUGCAUGUUUUAUGUGCACUAUAGAAACACCUUAGUCUUUAUGUCAAACUCUUCCAACCAAAGUUGGCGUACAAAGAUAAAAAAACACCUCAUUAGUAUACAGGGAAUCCUAUAGUUUGCAACAACAAUUAAUAUCAGGUAAACUAGUAGGACACCCUAGCCAAAUGAAUCAAGUAAUUAGGCCAUACCAUAUUUCUCCAGGAAACGCAAAGCUUUUUCGAGAAAAGAAGGGCCUCCAUCGAUGUCCUCGAGUGCAAGGAGAAUCGGCCUACCAACAACCAAUGAUUUGAUAGGGCGCUUGCCCCUCCCUAUAUAAGAUAGAGAAUUACCAAACACGAAACUUUUAUGACUCAAAGAUAACAACAGCUAGAAACCAGCUUUAUUCAUAUUAUAAGUUCAAUGAAGCAUGAUCUUCUUGCGGAAAGGAAUGAAGAGGAACGAACAUUCUUGAAUGGAUCCUUCAAAUGCAUCUGUAUUCUCAUUACGAAAUAUUCCAUUGUGUCCCAUGACAAGAGCAGCAUUUGGAGCUUGCACAAGAGCAUUUUCUAGUGCAGUUUUCCAUUCAAACAAGUCUUCAGAUGAUUCUGCCUGCAAAGGAAAUGAAGAAGAAAAUGUAUGGUCGAAGUACAUUAUGCACAUGACACAUACAUAUAAAUAAAGCAAUCAACUUUUCUGUCCAUCUGCAAUUGACCAAAAACUGUAUAGUAUAACUAAAAGAAACACCUUAAGAGUGAAUGCUCGCCCAUCACGACCAUCUGGAAAUAACACAGUCAACAACUUCUUAUCUUCCCUAACCACCACACUGCAAACAAAGGACAUAUAAACACCCUUCAGAAUAGUAUACAACAUAACCCUUACAGAAUGACAUUCAUGCAGAAACUUGAACAAGUAUAAUGAGAGAUAUACCUUCCUGAAUUAUUCAAGUCAAUGCCCCCCAAAGUAAGAUUCACUUCACCACCUCUCUGGGGCAGUGCACUCUAAAAUAUGAAAAGGUAUUUGUAAGAAGUUUCUAAUUUCUCAUGUGAAGAAAAUCAUGCACUCUAAAAGUAUAGAGAGACUAUAUAGAAUUGGAUCUCAAUUAACCAAAUAUAGCGAAUACUUGAUUUAAAUUCAAAAAAAAGAAAAAAACAAGAGGGCCAAACAAUUUCUUUCGAAGCAGGAAAGAAGAAUAAUAUGAGCUUAUUUCAGCUGUGACUCCAAAACAGAAGAUUUAAAGAGAAUCAACAGAAGAAACAAACAAGAAAAGGAAAAGAGAAGAAAGUAAUAAGUUGAAUUCCCUCUGUAUAACUUUUUAAUUCUCAAAAUAGAUCAAGAAAACAUUCAAUUCUCCAUUUCUCACUACCCAUAUAUAGAAAAUGAUAAAAAAAGUCUAAUUAGCCAAGAUUAAGACAUCUAAACAAUACAAAGACUUCUACCAUCACAAUUAUAUUGUUUUUACACAGCAUAAGUAAAUCAAAGAAAAUUACAGUCCGUUUUUCAUGUUUGAGUUCCCACACUAGAAAAUUAUUAAUUAUCAUACACACAUUAUUUGGCGAAUACUAUAAAAAGUAAAUCAUUUACAAAGUUUUAAUGAGCAUAAAAUAAGAACUGGAUUUGUGAAAUAUAGCAUUGACUUUACGAACACUAACAGGAUCACUCUUGAAGAAGACUAAGGAUGUACGCGUGAGGAUGAACCAGCGCUUCUUCCAUGAUUUCCAACCAAUUCCUGCAAAAUAUAUGAACAAAGGCUGAUUGAAGUUAAAAACAAAGAGGAAGUCUUGUAUAGGGAUUAGAUUAUAGAAACAUGUAAAAGAAUGAAAGGUAAUAUAUUAUGAGGAGACAAUAUUGAUAACAUGCACAAGAAUAGAGUUGGAUUUCCCAUACUCGAAGUUUCUAUAAAUGAGUUCCAAUUUUGUAUUGACUCCACCUUCUUUGGGUUUUGGUUUUGACAUUUCCAGUAGUGUUGGCCAUUUCAAGUUUUAAUUUCAGAUAUAGUUCAAAAGUGUCCAAAGUACUCAAAGAUCAAUAAGCAUAUUAUCUUUGAAAUAAUUAAAUCUGAUAUGACAACUGACAGCAUUGCAGAGUGCAGUGAUGUUUCAUGUUAUUUCUACGAAAAGGGUAGCCAAAUUGUGUGUUAUCAUCUAUGAUAGAAACAAGUACAACUAAAACAAAUAGUAUGAACUGUGCAGGGAUCAACCAAAUUUGGCACAAUUAAACUUGAACAUAUUAAAUCUUGCUAGGCUCCACAUGGUACACAGCUCUCUAUGGAAAGUUGGAAAAUUUGUCAGCAGACUUACAUAAUGUAAAUCUCUAACUUGGACUUUCACUUAUUCACAAUAGAAUGACAUGAAUGAGUCGCAUAUGUAAAAAAGUAAAACUCUCAUAUUUUCAUGAAAGUAUAGAACCACUAAACCAAAAAAAAACUGAAAAUAAGUUGUGAACUUAGCAGAUAAAAGGUAAGAUUCAAGAAAAAAAUUUGAGAUCUCCGCUAAUCUAAACUCAGGAAAUAAACAUAUCAACAGGCGCUACAGUAUUUUAAACUAGCAUUGCCAAAUUCUGUUUCUUUACAGCAGUUUUUCAUAACUGUAUAAUUGAGAAGUGUUGAAGAAUUCAAAAGUUUACAAUGGCUUCUUUUAGCACCUCAAAAUUCUUGAAAAACAUCACAGAGACAUAAACAAGUGUUCUAUUGCCUAUCUGAUUGGUAAAACCUAGCUUAACAAUGAAAGCUCUUUUGUGUUUCAGUUAAACAUCAUGCUUAAAUGCACAAACAUGCAUCUUGAAAUAGUGAAUGCAUCUGUUCUUUCCGUAAAGAAAAGCAAGUAACAAACCUUUCGAUGAUAUGAAAAGGGGUCCACUCUUGAACACCUGUAGAAGAAGUUCAAAGAUGGAAAAACCAGAAACAAAAUAAAUAUGCAGUUGUCAAAAAAGGCAAACAUGCAAGAACAUGCAAAACUAGCAUAGUUUUCCUCUUAAAUAAAGCAUACCCCCUCUAUUCUCUAGCUUUUUGUUUCAUAAACCAACAAAAGAAUCCCCUCAACAAUAUGAGUCGUCGUUGCCUAAGCUUACAUUCAAAAUGAAUUUUGUAGGAAAAUAGACCAUCAAGGAAGCAUUAGUUUGUAAUUUUAUACAUCGGAAUGGUGCUCCGGAUUACUUUGAGGUGUACCAUCGUGAAGUCUAUAAGAUUACGUAAUUUAAUUAAAAAAAAAAGAGAUAAACAAAAUAAAGAGUUACCAACAUACAUGUGUAAGUGCUAUAUAAAUGGCAAUUCACAGAAAUUAAUGAGCUAGAUCUGGUAGAUCUUAUAGGCGAAUAAGACAAAUCCUGAACACGUAAACAUACUACACGAUGCACUAGCACACUGCAGCGCACACUAGAAUGAACAGUGUGAUGGUGAAUCGCCCUUUAGAAUAUGUUGGCAAUUCGGUGCCAUUGUGUGCAUAUUGCAGUACAAAUGCGUUCCUUACAUUAAAAUAACAGCUGGAGUAGAAAAAACCCAGCUGCAUUACUCAAUCUAUAGCUCCACAUUUUGCAAUUUCAUUUUCUGCUCGCAUUGAAUUGCAAUUCUCAACCUCCCUCACGAAAAAUUCCGCAUUUCGCAAAAAAAUCCCUCUUUUGCAAGCAAAAUAUACUGAAUCGCCCCAAAAGAAGGCUCUUUUAAAAGCAAAAUCACCACCUCCACAACCUCGAACACUAGAAUAUACACUCCUUCAAUACCCCAAAAAUGCAGUAGACGCGAAUUCUCUCAGUCACAGAACCACAACAGAUAACAAACAAAAUGCUAAAGACCAAAAAUGCUAGAGACCACAUCUUUAUAACCUUCCAAAAUUGAACAAAUUUCAAAUCAGGUGAAACAAAGCAUACAUACGUACCGCAUUCGACGCCGCAGCGGCGCCCAGAGCCGGAGCCGAAGACAUUUCUCGAUCACCGCCGAUCGAAUCAGCUACAUUCCCACCGUCCCCUUCAAAACCCACGAGAGCGUUGGCCGAAGCCGAGGAAUGAAGCAACCCCAAGCUCGAAAGGGACGGAUCGGGUCGCCCCCCCCCCAACCGAUGUCGCGUGCGAUGGGGAUUUGGGUGUUGGGAAUUAGGUUUGGGGUUUUGAAAGCGCCACAGUGAGGAAGGAGAGGAGGAGAGAGAGAGAGCGAGGGAGAGGGUAAUAAAGCAAAGGAUUGGGACGUGGUCUCUCUCUCUCUCUCUCUACACUCCACAGCUGCUUAAAUGGUCCCUCGUUUUGUAAGCUUCUUCAAAAAGCCUCUCCUCUCCCCCCUGUUUACAGCGUGAGUUUUAGAGAGAGAAAACAGUCAUGGAGAUAGAUAGUAGAGAGAGAGAGAGAGAAGACGAAGAAGAAAUCGCCUGCACCCUGUACGUGCGCCGUGAACUAUAUCAAAUUAAUCGCAAUUUGAUUGGUUGAUUUAUUUAUUCAUCAUUCUAUAGGAUUCGAUUUUUUGAAUUCAAAUGCGCGCAAUGUUCGGAUACACCGGGCGUAGGGAAAAUUUCUCUCCCGAGCCGGAGAAUUAGGUGGGUUGGUGAAAGAGAGGCGGUAANUUUUUUUUUUUUUUUUUUUUUUUUUUUGGGAUCUGCUUUUGUUGGUGGAAGCUCAACUGCUACAGUGUGAUUGCAGAUAGUGGGAGAAGCUCAAACAAAAAACGACUGCUUUUAUUUCCCUUUCGAUUCGAAUCUUUCCCUUUCUUAAGAAAAGAUGAAAAUUGGAUAGAAAUUUUUAGCUGAGAUCUACUUUGGUUGGCACCUCAGAAAUUUUUAAACUCUCAACAUUAUGCGCCACGUCAGCGGAGCAUCGCUAUGCUUACCCAGAGUCUCCCCAGCAAUUCUUCUUGUAAAUUUUUCUCUACCGUCAAAUUUUUACAGACUCUACUCUCCGAAGCAUCUCCAUAAUUUUCUCAACGGUUUCAUUUAAAAUAUUUUAUCGAAAGUUUUAAAAUAUACUUUUGUUGUUUUAGCAUCCGAAGUGUCAUUUUAACUUUUUUACUUUACAUUAUAAAUGUUUUUGAAAGUUCCCAAGUCGAUUAAAUUAGAAAUAAAAAGCGAACAAAACAAACCUUUAGUCCCAAUGCCUAACGCGGUUGACUUAAUUAGAAAGUAGAUUAGAUGGCCUGUCAAUAACUUUCGCAAAAAUUUCCUCAAUCUUAAUGAAAAAGAUAAUAUUGAGAAAUAUUAAUUAGGUCAGGAGUUGUUAAGGGAGCUUGUCAAGCUAAUCAAUUAAUCCUUUAUCUUAAUUAGCUUGUUUGUUGUUAAUUAAGAAACUUUUAGGCAAAAGAGAGUAGAAUAUAGAAAGUAAUCCUUUCUACUUUUUUAUGGAAAAGGUGGAGAUGCUUGGUACUUCAUUUUCUCACUUUGGUUGCUGUUUUUGUAUCCUUUAAUAUGCGCCUUGGUUUAAAAUUUUAUUAUCAAGACUUUUAAAUUUAAACGUACCAAUUUUAGUUCAUUAAAUGUGUUUUCGCGACACUAAAUAUGUCUAUUUUGAAAACCAGUAAUUUUUCGACAUCUUAUCAUAUCUAAGUAUUCAUUAGAAAUUCAGCAGUAUUUUUCCUCAAAUACUUAAUGCUUGGAUCGUAAUUAAGUUUUCAAAACUUAUAAUUUUGUUUUUAAAAAGCUUAAGUUAUUAGAAAGAUAUCAUUAAUUUAAUUAAAGCGUACAAAAAUAUUGUCCAUGAUUCUCGAUUGUGAUUCAAUCCAAUUCAGUCUCCUGUCAUUUCGGAUCCAAUCUUCUGUUGUUUUGAACAUAAUUCGAUUCAAAUUGACUUCUCAUCACGAGGCAGAAUGCUGCUCCUUUUAAGUCGACAAUAUACGCUUUAAUAUUGUGGAUUAUAUUUAUUAUUAUAACACCAUAUAUAAUAAUCAAAUAUUGAAAAAGCUGCAAUUAAUAUAUAUCGGACAAGAACUUUAUAUUAUAUCAAUCUUAUUUAGUUACGUAAAAUGACGAAGAAUCUAGUGAAAAGUAAAAUAUCAACUUCAUAUUAAAUGAUAUAAAACAAAAAAUGCGGCUCUUUGUUUUGUGCCAUAUGAAAACAUUCGAUAGAAUGUUAAUAUUUUACUUUUCACUAGAUUCUUCGUCAUUUUANUUUGUUAGGAUUCAAGACAGGGCUGUGCACGGAAACAAAAUUAAAAAAAAAAGGGACAAACAUAGAAAAUGCAGUAUUCUAUAUUCCGAAAAAAAAAAAAAAACUACUAUUAAAGAAAGUUGCAUAUUUUUAUGUUAAUUUAGAACUAUAUUUAGGUGCAAUGUAUAUGCGUAGAAAAAGUAAAAAGUACAGGGAUGAACUUGUAAUAAGGAAAAAUUAUAGGGACUAUCCAUAUAUUUACUCAGCUUCGUACUUUUGUUGUCGAUGAACCAUUUGGUCGGCUCAUUUGGCGUUAUUAACUGUCCAAGUUUAGUUUUUUGUCCAAUUGUGCAAGACCCCGGCCAUUAUAGAUGAGGGAAGGGGCACUUGGAGAUCACGUGACAAAGAUGGGGCCCACGUGUGUUUGUUGUGUGAUUAAGACCCUAAACCCUAAAUCCUGAACGUGACGUCCCCGAUCAAUAAAAUUAUUUUUUUUAAAUUCAUUGAUGCAAUUAUAAUUAAUAAAAAAAUAUUUUAAUUAUAUUAUUUUUUUCUUAAGAGAAAAUAUAUGAUCGACUUAUUGUUACCUAAGUGUGAUAUUAUAGACAUUCUCUGAUUGCAGAGAGUGUACAUGUGACCUACGGAUUUAACUGCAGAAGAUGCUUCACAACUAUGCGAGUGAAACUGCUCGCACCCAGAUUUUUUUUUUUUAAAAAAAAAACCUUCUCCCUGAGCCCUCAUUGAUUUAAUUUAUCGUACGAAGAUAUAUACGCUCAUUACUGACUCAGUUGUCACACCUUUGUCCAGGUACCUAGCUAAUAAUUGAAUAACAAUGGCUUUAAGAUGAUUUAAUAGUUUAAUCAAGUAGCAGUCACAUCACUAAUUCACUUAAAACAAGUAAUUAGAGCUUGAAGAGUCACUUGAUUGAAACAGAAAUUAAAGAUUAAUGCCUUUAUUAAUUGUUAGCGCUUAAUAUGUAAAGCAAUUCAGAUAAAAUGAAUUGGUCUUUUUCUUAAUUUUUUGGAUCAGAAGUUUUUAUCUCGAAACUAAGUGGAUUCCACUUAUUAUAGUAACAAGCUUAUCAUACAUGCACUACGAACCAUGCAUGUUGGUUUUUUUGGCUAUGCUUUUAUUUGUGUUACAUUUAGUUAGUUCCAGAAGAGCAUAUAACUGGUAAUCAAAUAUUACCACAAUUCUUAGCAAAGAGUCUAGCAAUUUGCAGCUGGGUACUGGCAAUGAUCUCAGUUCUCUUCAAAUCCAUCUCUCCUCGCUUCGCCUCCGCCUCGGCCCUGAUCAUCUCUACUUCCCUCAUCGCCUCCAUUCUCGCAUGCUCCACCUUCAGCACGACCUCCGCGAAGUACUGUAUGCUCCGUAUCACCUCCGACAUCACGUCUUUUUGCUCUUUUCUCCUCUUCCUCUUUCUAUUGUUUUUCGCCGUUUCGCGCUUUUCGCGUGAUCCAUCAUCAUUCGAUUGUGUACUAUUGCCCUGCACCUCCUUGUUGUUAGUGGCCUCAUUUCCGUUUUCCUUGGCCGGUGUGUCUCCACAUUCACCCUGCUGUUAAGGGGAAAGUUACGUACUAAAUUACACACAUCCAAAUAUUUUGAUGUAACUUUUGCAAUCGGGGCAUGCUAAGAAACUAGAACUAAAUCUUUGUGUGCAAAAAUUUUCUAUGAAACUAACGGCUCCAGUAUAUCAUAUCCUACUUUUGAUGAACAAGGAGAUCAUUUUGAUUGCAAAAAAAUUACAUUAUACUCUCAUCUAUUGGCUGGAUCCUACAAUUUAACACAAUGAUAUAAUUAUAAAACAUUUGCAAAUCAAUGAAAGUACAUAUAGAAUACAGCUAACUAUCAGUAAAUACGUACAAAUAUGAAAAAUUAUGCAAAACUUCGAAUCUUCUCGCCACAGUGAUAUCAAAAUUCGUGAUUUUUUUAAUUCACUAAAGUAUUAUAUGAAAAAUAAUUGUAGCUAAAAGUAAAAGCAGCAUUAAAAUAGAUUGCGAAACUCAGCAGGGUCUUGUAUUAACCCGACAUGGCUCGGCCCUUAUCUGAAUUUGUAACUGUAUCGCGCCGUGCUGUACCGUACUGUAUGAUUAAAUUCACACGAGAACGCGAUGUUGAACAACGCACCUCUACUAUUACGGCGUCCCCGUCGGCCUUCGGCAGUGACACCUCACCAGCUGGCGCUACUGCCGCCGCAGCCGACUGCUCAUGUUGCUCCUCAGACUCGAGGCCGAUCAUCGCCUCCGCCGCAGCGCCGACCCCCCGACACCGGACCAAACCGUCCAGCCGGUGAAACAAGGGCCACUUGGACCCCCCGACCACCGCGGGUCUCACCGCCGCCUCCGAGCGAUACCGCUUCUUCAUCGACUCCACCUUGUUCUUGCACUGCGUGGCCGUCUUCGGCCCCUUGCAACUCCGAUCCCCGGCGCGGCACGACACGGCGCGCGCCACGUCCUCCCAGUCGUGGCCCUUCAGCUUGGCCCGGUUCCGGAGCGCCCAUUUCGCCUCGUACGCGUCCAGCAGCGCCGCCACCGCCGCGUCGCUCCACUCGUCCCUCUUCCCCGGCCGUGCCGCCAACUCCUCUUUAUUAUUAUUAUUAUUAUUAUUACUACUACUACUAAUCCACAACAACUCUUUUUCCUCCUUUGCUCUACUCCCCUUCUCUUCCAUUAUUAUUCAAUUCUCUCCAUUAGUUAUUUACAUUUACAUUUUAUUUUUUUCUUUUUGUUGGAGGUCGUAGUAGUAGUGGUGGUGGUGGUGGUGACCGGUUCAUCAAUAACAUUAUUAUUAUUAUUAUUAUUAUUAUUAUUAUUAUUAUUAUUAUUGGCAUGCGUCGUCACGGGCAUCAUCGAGCUUUUAGUUUGGUAACUUUUUUGAGGGUGUUGUUUUAGCCGUGAAAUAUGCGGUUAGUUGUGACUUGUGAGUGGGCUCGUGGUGGGUGCGGUGUCAGGCGUGCCCAUUUGGCCGUUAGCGUGGAAACAAUGAGAAAGUAUAUAUUCCCCGUUCUAUCGAGUAAUAGUGUUUUUUUUUUUUUUUUUUUUUUUGAAAAAAGAUAACUCACCAUCCGCUUUAUUUAUUACAAUAAUAAAUUAGACUACAUGAGUGAGACAACGUGAGUAUCGAGAGUAUAAAACAUAAAACUUAGGGAAAAUAAAAAUCGUCAACGGCUUAGUUGAGAGUUGCUUUCAAAACUUCGUAAACUACUUCACCUGCACGGCUGCAUAUAUGAUCUGCGCAUAUAAUAGCACAAUUGGAUAAGAAUUUAAUAGUUAGUAUAUCAAAUUUUAAAUUUUAAAUUUAAUUAUUUUAUAUUUUUGUUUAAAUUUAUUUUACAAAUGACGGAAUUUUCUUUAGGAAAAAAAGAUUGUAGAGAUUUAAAUAAAAAAAUUAUCUGAUAAUUUUAGAUUAAACAAGCAUUUAAACAUUUUUGUUCAAUAUUUAAAGAAUACUAAUUUUAUAUAGUUUAUUACAUCGGCCCAAAAAUUCCCUUUUCACUUGUCAAAAUUGAUUAGUUUGCAAUGUAGAAUUUUUCAAUCGAAAUCUUAGAAGCAGAAAAUGUUUAAAUUUUUAUUUUUCUUGUUACCAAAUUUUUUUUAAAAAAAAACAUUAUAAGCGGUCGACGUUUCCUUUCUUAACUGUUUUAUUUAUAAAUCUAUCUAAAAAUAAUUAAAAAAUAGCAAUAAUGACAAAGGAUGCUUAAUUUAUUACCAAAUUCCUAUAGCUCAAGAGUGUUAUAUAACUAUUUGCCAAUAGAUCAACUGCGUAUAAAAAUCAUUUUUAAAAAUUUUGAAAAAAUGGAUACAUUUUAAAAAUUGUUUAGAAAAUAUUGUAAGGAUUAUUUGCUCUAAUACAGCUUGCUAUGCACCCUAGAAUCUAAAAUACUAUAAUCGAAAGAAAAAAAAAAUAACUAAAUUAAUAUUUUAUUAAUCAAAACACCUAAUACAACCCGUCUAUUAUUGAAGAAGCUCCCUAAUUAACCCCAGCUUCAUUAAUUCUGCUUGGCUAUAUAUAUAUGACUACACAUAUGGCCGUAAUCUACUCAAAAUUUUAAAAAUUAAUACAAGUUUAUAAACCAACUAAUCGUAUCAUUGUAUAAUUCAACUUCAAAUGAAGUCAUUUCUAUAUAAAAUAUAGAAUCCAGCUACUAUUCUUUUAGGAGGAGCGUAGGCCUUCGUCCUUUUAAGUUGUUUUAGAUAAUAGGGAUUCCGAUUCGAUGAUUGGAAUCAUUAAAGUUAUUUUAGAGUAUUUAAAGUAUUUAGAAACCAAAUUUUAUAGGUUUUAAAAAUUAUUUACAUAGUGAUCAAAUGAUUAAAAAAUUGACAGCUUUUGAUAGUCUGUUUGAGCAGUUUGUUUGUUUAACGGUGUAGAGCAAUCCAAACCGCUCCGCUUAAAUUUUUGAUAAAAUUUUUUUUAUACUACUUAUAUAAAGUUUGAUAAUUCUCAUUAUGAAUUGAGAAAAUCUAAUAUCUAUUUUCACAAGGUUAUUUAUUUUUUAUCGUUCAUUUUUUGGCUCUUUGAUGGAUUUGACAGUAACUUUUAAAAUUUAUGAAUUUAGUUUCUAAACACUUUAAAUACUUUAGAUCAACUUUAAUGGUUUCAAUUAUCGAUUCGAAAUUUUUACCAUCUAAAACGACUUUGGAGGACCUCCGUUCUCUUAAAAGUAUAAUAACUAAACUCAUAAAAUAUAUAUCUCUAAUCAAAUAUUGAAUUAAGGCUUAGUUUGGUAUUGAGGUCUAUCUAAUGCUAUUAGAUAAAGGCUUAGUUUGGUAUUGAGACCUAUCUAACGCUAUUAGAUAAAAUAGAGUUGUGGAAAAAGCAUAUUGGAAUAUGCUUCUGCGUUCUCCGGUGAGACCGCAGAAAAUAUAUCGUAACUGAUUCAUCGCGAUAUGCGGAACGUAAUAUUACGUACGGAAACUCUAACUAAGUUUGGAUUACUACUUGUAAUAGAAAAACCUGAGAAGAAGAAGCCAUAGAUGGACUUUCUCACCGCACGUAACGCAAUCUCCCUACAAUUUCAAAUAAAGACUAAUUCUAACUAAGUUUGGAUUACUACUUGUAAUAGAAAAACCUGAGAAGAAGAAGCCAUGGAUGGAUUGAGUAGGAAAGUGGGGCGACGGUGGGGUGGCCAGGAAUCAAUAUCUGUGGGUGGGCUAACCACUAGAGGUAGAUGGUGGGAUGGAAGUCAGUGGUGGUUUGAUGUUCAUUUUUCUUUUCCUUUUUCCUUUUUUUCUUUUUUUUUUUUCAGUUGGUUGCCGAAAGUGCGCACCAGAGGAGAGCAUCUAAAUUUGGUCCCCCACAGUCUGUCUUUUCGUUAGAAACUCUCGAGUGGUAAAAAAUUUGAUGGUUGGUAUCCGAAGUUAUUAGUUCGAAUCCUAACUGAUUCAUAUUUUUAAUUAAAUUUAUUUAUAAAUGAAAUAAACGAAGCGAACAGCAUGCUAGUUGGGCUGUCAACGGAUCGAACACGAGCGAGAUUGGCUCAAGAGGUCUCCUCGUGGUUCGGCUUGAGCUCGUGGCGAGUUGGAAAAGCCUAGCUCGUGAUCAAUUAUGAUCGCAUUGUUAAUUUAAUAAGCUAGCUCGUGUUCAGCUCGUUAGUUCGAUUAGUUUACUGAAUCGAGCUAGCUUAUAUAUGGCUCGAAUUAUUUACAAUUUGAAAUUUAAAUCUCAAGUUGAUUAUUUUGAAAAAUAUAUAUUAUUUUUUUUGCACGAAAAAUUUAAAUGAAAAUUUUGUUUUUUGUAUGUGUAAUUGCAUAUAUAAAUAUAAUACAUGUAAAACUUGUAGAUAUACAAUAUAUGAAUUUUAGUUAUAUCGAAUUGAACAUAAUUGAGCAAAUUUCAGCGCGUGUUUAGCUCGUUAAGAUAGCAACCUGAAAAAUUCAACUUAUGUUCAGCUUAUCUAUUAAACGAGCAAUUCAAUUUUGAGCUUACUUCGAACCAAAAUUGACGUGCGAACAGCAAGGUGAAUUGGCAGUCUAUGUAUUAGAAAAGCAGUACUGAUUUGACUUUAAGUAAAGAGCACAAAAAAAAAAAAAUGAAAUAACCUUUUAAUGUUUUGUUGAGCUAUUUAUGUAUUGAACAUGGAAGGUAGUAUUACUCAUGCGCUGAGUCAAAUUUGUUAUGAUAAAAUGAUAGUGUGCUACUAGUUUUUUUAAAAAAAUAAAUUUAAUUGAAGAUAUGAAAUAAUUAAAUUUUGAAUUUAAAAUUUCGAAUACCAAUCCAUCAAGUUUAGAAUAUUGAAGAUGGUAGGAAGUUGUUUAAGUUUAUCAGAAUAUUGAUAAUAAAAUGCAAUAAAUAACUACGUUUCUAACUUAGAAUUUCGAAUACCGAUCAUUAAAUUUUUUACAAUUUGCGUUAGGAAUAUGCCUUUUUUUUUUAUGUGCUCAUAAGAUGCAGAUAAGCAUUUUUGCGUUCCAUCAGUAAUACAACUUGUAGGUUCUGCACAACCCAUCUCCAUGGGAUUGUUGAUUUGUUAACAAACCACUAUAAUACAUGUGGGGAAAAAAAAAAAAAAGAAAAAAAGGAAGCCUCUCUAAAAAGCAACAGUUAAAUUAAUGGGUAAAUUUCAAAUACCAUUUAUAUGAUUUCGCAUUUUCUCACUUUAGUAUUCUGUGAUUUAAAAUAUAUCAAUUUAGUAUCUUGUGGUUUUAUUUUUCUCUUUUCGUCAGUUCUUUCGUUAACAUUUUGUUAAAUUAUAUAUAAAAAACUUUAGAUACCUCACUUAGGUUUAUCGAAUAUUCACUUUACUAAUUUAACAAAAAAAAUGGUAGAUGGAAUAAUAAAAAGAGAAAAAAAAACCACGGGAGUACUAAAUUAAUACACUUUUAACUAUAGAAUAUUAAAAUAAAAAAGUACGAAGGAGUGGUAUUUGAAGUUUUCUCUAAAUUAAUUGCAGGGAGGCUUUAUAAAUUUUGUUCCAAUUAAUGAAUAGGAAAAAUGAUGACGGGCUUUUUUGGGGCCGGGUCUUCGGAUCUAGCCUCCAAAACCCAAAAGUCCAAGAAUUCACUAUUGUAGCCAUUGAUAUGAUUACUUUAAGUUAAUUUCUGACUAUUAUUUUUAGGGUAACAACCCUAACCCCCCAAAAAAAAAGAAAAACUGGAAAAAAAAUCUUUUAAGGUUCCUAGGGUUCGUAGGUUUAACAGGAUGAUUUCAUUGUUGAUGAGAGGCAGGAUCGUUCCAUACACAAAAAUUCUAUAUGCGCAUACCUACCGGAAACUUUUUCGUGCACAAUCUCUAUAAUAGGAGAAGAAGAGAACGUAAAAUUAUGAAAUUAUGAACCGAUUGUUUCAAAGUAGAUGAUGGGAGAGCACACAAAUCAAUCCAACGUUUUCAGCAAAAAUUGUGUUUCUAAGGCACAUUAAAUUUUCCGUCUAGCUAUAAAAUUACCAAAAACCAAGAUAUAUAUAAAUUUUUAAAAAAAGUUCACAUAACUCAAAAGGAGGAUAAAUUCAAAACAAAAAAAUGGGAGUUUGCAGCCAGCACUAGCUCUUGAUAGUACUGACUGUCUUUUGAUCUCAGCGAGCGAGAAAAGACCUUCUUCAUCAUCUUUGAUGUCCAAUGUUGCAUUGUCUGAAACAAGAAGCUAAUUGCUUGGGUGAAAGCAGACUAGGGUAAAAACCUCCAAAUAAGUCCCCGUGAUUAAGAAUGAUCGGAAGUUCUGAUUCAUCGAGAUUGUAGUGAAGCGGCGUUAAGAGUGAUUUCGAAGAAUCCUUGCUAGUAUCAUAGCAGAUCCACUUACUGAGCUUAAAAAUUUUAGGCCGGUGGUUUAGUCCAACGAGUUAUUACAUCAACUGAAAAGAUCGUAGACUCGUUACGACCACCAUUCGUCCGUUGAGAUACAAUGGCCUUCCGGAUGGGGUCAUGUCCAGAUUCUUAGAAACCAUUCGCCCUCGCUCGCUGCGACCUGCUAUGUCACGCACCUCAAGUACACCUGCAGCAGUUUAUUACAUCAACUGAAAAGAUCGUAGACUCAUUACAACCACCAUUCGUCCAUCGAGAUACAAUGGCCUGCCGGAUGGGGUCGUGUCCAGAUUCUUAGAAACCAUUCGCCCUGGCUCGCUGCGACCUGCUAUGUCACGCACCUCAAGUACACCUGCAGCAGCCCACCAGGGACCUACAUGGCUUUGAGAAAAAGAGAGCCUGAAGUGCUUGUAUCUUUUGCUCGAGGGACAAAAGCCUGAAGCGACAAAGUGACUGCACUUUCCAAAGGGAGGAGGAGUGCUUAGAAGUAUUAUCAGAGUCGAUUCACCAGCCGAAAGCAUGUGAUAAGUUUUGGCUGAGCCAGAGUCGAUGAAUGAUAGGGUAAGUCAAAAUGAGAAUGACAAAGGCUAGUGAGAUAAAUCUCACAUCGUCUAGUGAUAAAGGUUAGCAAGAUAAGUUUCACAUCGUCUAGUAAUUUUGAGUUGGACUGUAUAUGUUUAGGACUGACGAAAACGUUAGAACCUAAACAGGAGGGGCCGGUGGUUUGAGCCUAACAAAUUAUUAUUGUUAGUGGGUCGGAUGGUUACAAUGCUAAUUACGUUAUUCUCCUUAUUCUUGCUGUACCCGAGUAGCAGAAUCCCAAGUUUUAGGUCAGCUCCCAUCCGACGAUAAUGAAGAUUACGAUUACGAGAAAGUAUACAUCGCUCACCGCUCUGAACCACAGCUUGGAUACACAGCUGAACCUACCGGCGGCCUUCGUCGACAGCUAUGAAGAAUCUCUUGAAUGAUUUCAUAAGGCAGUUCAUUCCUCUUACUUCUCAUAAAAACUAUUUUCUUAUCCGUGUAGGGGUGAGCUUGUAUUAUAUAUGUUUUUUUUUUUUUGAGAGAGAGAUAGGUAGCACACUACCCGCUUCGUUUAUUUCAUUUAUAAAUAAAUUUAGCUAGAAAUGUAAAUCAACUAGAAUUCGAAUUUGGGACCUCGGAUACCAAUCAUCACGCCCUUUUCACUUGCACUCGGGACGGUCGGUUUGUAAUUUAUAUGUUCGCCUUUGUUUCUAGUUCUGUUUCAAAAAAAAUGUACCAUUUUUUUUUUUUGAAUCCUAUCUUUCUUUUGCUGGGAAACAAAGACAUAAUAUAAUAGGUAAAGGUGUAACCACGUAAUAUUUUUCUUGCAAAAUUUUCGCAGAGCCCCUGAAACAUAUAUGCAUGUGAAUUUAAAAAGAUUUGUUUCGUUUUUUGUUUUUUUUUUUUUUUUUUUCCGGGUGAAUAUGAACUUGGCUAUUGGGAAGUAGAAGGAAAAAAAGAUCCUAAAUUAAUUGAAUCAGAUCUUUCUCCUACCGUGAAAAAAAAAAGACAUAAUAUAGGUAAAGGAUGAGCCAUCAAAAUCAGUAAAUGAGAUCGUACAAAUAAAAAAUAAAAAAUCUUGAUCUUUUCUCUUUGUCAAAAAAUAAUCAAAAGCAGAAUGCUUGAUGUCCGCAAGUAACCACUCAAUUUUUUUUUUCUCUCUUUUUGUAAAGGCCCUAAAACAUACAUGCACGUGAAUAUAAAUAAGAGAGUCGUGAACUCGUGAUCACUAAAAAAUUAUAUAAAUAUAGAGAGUAGGGCUACUAUACUUUUAUGAGUAUUGGAGCCUUCGUACUCAUAAAUUAUUUUCGAUGAUGGAGCUUUCGAAUCGACGAUCCACUCUAUUAAAUAUGCUCUACAGUAUUUGAAACUUUUAGAAAAUAAAUUUCAUGAAUUUUCAAAAUCAUAAUAAAGUCCAUCAAGCGAGCAUAAAAUGAAAGGUCAAAUUUGAAUGACGCCCUAAAAAUGAAUGAUGGGAUCCUUCAAUUUAAGAUCGAAGUUAUUGAUCUUUAUCUAGAUAGUGAAUAGAAUUUUCUAUCAAAAAUUCAACAAAUUUUAAUUUUUUUACACCGUUAAACUAGCAAGUAUUCCAUAUCGACUGUUAAAAAUUGUUAAUUUUGUGACUUUUUGAUCGUAAGGUAAAUGAUAUCGAAAAAUUAUAAAAUUUAAUUUCUAGAAGUUUUAAAUGCUGUAAAUAACGUUUAACGGUAUGGAUCAUCGAUUCGAAAGCUCUAUCAUCGAAAACGACUUAUCGUACUCAUAAGAGUAUAGUAGCCGAACUCUCUCUCUCUCUCUCUCUCUCUCUCUCUCUCUCUCUCUAUAUAUAUAUAGGAUAUAUAUAUAUAUAUAUAUAUAUAUAUAUAAAAUUGUCAUGUCAUGCAUGUAUCCUCAAACUUUAAAUUAAUUUCAUAGUUUGGCAUGCAAAGAUGUGUUAAAUGGUUGGGAUUUCAAUUUUUAUAUUAGGACUUACAAUUAAUAUGGGUAUAAACAUAACUAAUUCUACUAUAAACAGAUCAAAAUUUACUAAAUCUAGUCAAAAUCUUCGUCAAUAAAUAACUCUGAGUUUGUGUGUCAAUAUCAAAAUGAGCUCUACUUAAAAUAUUAUUUACGAGUUAACAAUGAAAUGAUUUUUAAAUAUAUUAAUAAACUUAGUCCAUCAAAAAGGACAUAAAAGCCAGAUUUGAUUUGAGGAUGAAGGCGACAAUUUCUCAUGAGGUUCAAUGUAUCCUUAUAUGAAAAGAACCAAAAUUAUAUGAGAUUAAAAAAAAGCAACUUAACUCAAAAAGAAAUUAUAUUCCAUUAUGAUUUUAAAAUUAAUUGUGCUACUUAAAAUUAACAAAGGGUUACUUAAUUACUUGCUCUGUCCUUCUCAAGGUGAAUAAAUUUUUGGAUUAUAUUCUCACACCUUGAAUGCACCACCAAUUGGAAGGAUAUAUAUAUNUCUCCUAUAAAACAUAGUGAUAUUUUAUGUAACUUUCCAUCAUGUUAAUAGUUUUAUUUGCAGGCUGAUCGAUUGGCCUAUACUUAUCUACUACAUACUACUGCUACGUACUACGCACAUAGAUACAAUAUGUAAAAGAGAGAGAAAAUAAAGGAAGGAUAUAUAUAUAUAUAUAUAUAUAUAUAUAUAUAUAUAUAUAUAUAUAUAUAUAGUUCGGCUAUUAUACUCUUAUGAGUACUAUCGCCUUCGUAUUCAUAAGUUGCUUUCGAUGAUAGAGCUUUCAAAUUGACGAUCCAUACUAUUAAACAUUAUUUAAAAAUUUUUAGAAAUCAAAUUUUAUAAUUUUUCAAUAUCAUUUACCCUACGAUAAACAAAUUAAUAAUUUUUAACGGCCGAUAUGAGAUAUUUGAUAAUUUAACGGUAAAAAAGAAUCAGAAUAGGUUGAAUUUUUUGAUAGAAAAUUCUAUUCACUACCUAAAUAAAGAUCAAAAAUUCCGAUCUUAAACUGAAGGGUCGAUAAUCCGUUUUUAAGAUGUCAUUCAAUUUUAACCGUUCAUUUUAUACCCGCUUGAUGGACUUUAUAAGGAUUUUGAAAAAUUACGAAAUUUAUUUUCUAGAAGCUUCAAAUACUCUAGAUUAUUUGUAACGGUGUGGAUCGUCGAUUCGAAAAGCGCAACAUUGAAAACAACUUAUGAGUACAAAGGGCUCUAUACUCAUAAAAAUAUAGUAACCCUACUCUAUAUAUUUAUAUACUACAUAUUGAUUUGAUAAAAAACGACUCACGAUUAUACUUAACAUCUUAGUCUACAUUUACGACAAAUAUGAAAGAUCGAUAUUGUGUAAACGUUUACGAUAAACACGAAAGAUCGAAAUGAAAGACAUAUAUAUAAUUUCAAUUAAUAUGCAAGAUAAUUAGAGAUGAGGAGGUAAUCUUUAGCGUAAUUUAUUAAAUAAAUGUUGCAAGUGGGGAUCGAACCCACGGUCCUCUGGAACAAGGAGAUCUAAGAAGUAACUACAUAUGGUUUGUAUCAUGUUAUCUAAAGAAUUAAUUUGAUAAAAACGAUGCAAACAUACAUUCAACAUCUCUCUCUAUGUGGAUGAUAGAUUAAAAAGUGCGUAGAGUGCUUUUAUAUAUGAAGUAGGAGUUGAGAUUUAAUUAUUUACAUCCUUCUUUAUUUGUUAGCGGCCAAUGAUUAGCCCUACAUACUUAACCCUACAAGAAUAUAUAGGUGUGAAUUUUGUAAAGAAAAUAUAUAGGAUCUUUUAGAAAAGCUUUCUUAUAAACUAUUGAUAUGUUGACUAAUCUGUAUCAUAUUUUACAUUGCGUGCACAAAUUAAUUAAAAAUUUUCAUCUAUCAAUCGUCUACAAGAAUAAUUUAUUGAGUAAUCAGUUUCAGUGUUAUUGCGUGUGGUUCAGCUUUUCAAAUAAAGCUUGCAUAAGAUGGUUGAUAGAGAUGUAAGUGCAUUGAACCUUCGAAAUGAGACACACAAAGGGAAGAGUACGUGCCAAGUGUUAACGUUAAUUUUCGUGCUGGAUUUGACAUUAAUGUUUUUGCAUGCUUGGAACUUGUAUAUUUUAAGUAAAUCUCAGAUAUAUACUAAGCUAGACGUAACGCCUGCUUUCUUGGUCAAUAAUGAAAAUAGCAAACCCACGAGCACUUUUAUAGAGAAUUAAAAAAAAAAAAAUUUGCAAAGAGAAUGGGGCCAUACCUUUUUGACUUUGUUUAAAUUAUUCCUAAUUUUAACAACCCUUCACCUUUGAAGGUAAAAUGCUCGUAAUUAAAUAAAAAAAAUAUAUUGAAAAUGGAAAAUAUACAGAAUCUUUUAGAAAAGCUUUUUUAUAAACUAUUGAUAUAUUGACUUAUCUGUUUGAUAUUUUACAUUGCAUGCACGAAUCAAUUCAAAGUUUUUACUUAUAAGUCGUCUAUAAAAAUAAUUUAUUGAGUAAUUAGUUUCAGCAUUUUUGUGUGUGGUUCGGCUUUUCAAAUAAAGCUUACAUAAGAUAGUUGAUGGAGAUAGCAAGUGCAUUGAACCUACGAAAAUGAGACGCACAAAGGGAAGAGGACGUGCUAAGUGUUAAUGUUAAUUUUUGUGAUGGAUUUGACAUUAAUGUUGUUGCAUGCUUCGAACUUAUAUAUUUUAAGUAAACUAAUCUCAGAUAUAUACUAAGCUAGACGUAACGCCUGCUUACUUGGUCAAUAACGAAAAUAGUAAACCCACGAGCACUUUUAUAGAGAAUAAAAAAAAGAGAAAUUGCAAAGAGAUUUAGGGCCAAACCUUUUUGAAUUGUUUAAAUUAUUCCUAAUUUUAACAACUUUUUAUUUGACUAUAGACGAAUUCGGGACGUAAGCAAGGAAUUGGCCGAGUUUUGCCGCUUUUAGUGACUUGAUUUUCAGUGAGUACUAUAACAGAAUUAGAUUAUAGGAACACAUGUUUGGAACACUUUUGUGUAUGCCAAAACUUUAAAAAAAAUCUAUUAAUGUCUAAAUACUGAACACGGUGUUAUCUCAACCCCUGUAGCUAAAUUCAUUUGCUAAAUAAAUAAAGCGAGUGGCAUGCGAUCUUUUUGUCAAAAAAAAAAAAAAAAAACCCAUCACCUUUGUCCAUAAAACGCUCAUAAUUAAGCAGAAAAAAAAUACUGAAAACGGAAAAUAUUUUAAAUUUUUUAGAAUGUUAUCGUUAUAUAUUAUUAUAUAUUAUUAAUUAAUGCGUCAGUAAUUUUAUAUAAUAUUUUUUUAACUAUGUAUAGUAAUGUAUAAAAAUAAAAAUAAUAAUAUGAGAAACUCGUUACAUAUAUUAUACUCUAUUAAACCGCAACCUCAUGGGUUCGAAAAAUCUCAAUUCAUCUCUCAAAAUAAAAAUAAAAAAAAGUUCAGUUGGCUUGUUGCUUAUUUUCAGUUCGAAUAUUAUCUAGAUUGUGUUAUGCUUGUAAUUAUUCGGGGCUUAUAUUUUUUGAAACUCAAAUUUAAAUUGAAAAAUUGUUUGAUUGUGGGGUCUGUUAGUUUUUUAUUAGAUUUAUAGUAGAAUACUAGUUAAAUUAUAAUAAAUAUUUAAAUUUAUUAGAGCAAAUUAAUUUGAAUUUAGAUAUUAAUUAGAAUAUAAUUUGUAAUUUAUAUUAGGAUUAGGGCAUAUUGCAUCCUAUGCAUUGUAUAAUCAUGGAUGACGGAUUAACUACGUGUGAGUUUAGCCCUUUGAGUGGUGAGAGAAACUUGGUUUUUAAUUUGGCACCUGGUGUACGGGUGCUAGAGCUCGGAUUCAAGUUACUCUUGUAUAUAUAAUUUUUUUUAAUUAAUAAAUUUUAUUUUAUCUGUAUUUUUUAUUCAGUUUUUUUUUUUUUUAUGAUUGUGUCAAUAAUAGUUUCGCCUAAGAAAACGUAUUUCUGGUAAAAAUCAAAUUAACGCUUCCGUUGUAAAAUCCCAACAAUUAGUACCAGAACGAACAGAUAAACAAUAGUCGAUAUCAGAACAGAUUAUGAAUUCUCAAAAUCUGUUAUCAGGACGAGUACAGCAUUCCCAACUGACCCUAUAUAUGGAUAACUUACUAUAAUAAAAAAUAAAUAGCUAAAUUGCACUUCUAGUCCUCAAACUUUAUAAUGCAUGAUAUUUUAGUUUCUUAUUAUAUUUUUUAUCUCAAAUUUUUUAAAUUAUUGUAAUUAAUUUUAUCCUAUAAUCUAAUUUAAUUGACUGAAUAUUGAUAUUUCGCCGGUGUAGUAAUAUGUGGCAUCUUACAAUCUAAUUUAAUUGACAGUGGCAAAAGAUUUGGUUGUUGGUAUCCGAGGUCCCAUGAUCAAAUCCUACUUGAUUCACAUUUUCAGCUAAGUUUAUUUCUAAAUGAAAUAAAAGAAGCGGGUAGCGUGCUAUUUAUCUCUCUAAAAAAAAAAAGUAAUUAGCACGUUAUCAAAUAUAAUACUGUCAUAUCAGUACUAGAUUAACAACACAUCAUUUUUUAAUCAACCAAAUAUAAACAGUAAAAUUUAAUUAUAAUAAUUUAAAUAGUCUGAGAUAAAAAUUAUAAUAAACUAAAAUUUCGGGACCAAAGCAUAGCUUGCUUCAAAGUUUGGAAAAUAAAAAUGUAAUCUAACCUAAAUAGAUAAGCUCAAAAUAUAAUAUUAUAACAUAGACUCGUGUCUAACAUAACUAAUUACCCAAUGCGUUGUUUUAUUUUGGUGCUUUAAUUUCCUACACAACCAUUAUUAUUAUUUUUUUUUCCUUUUUGGUGUUUUUUAUCCAAUUUACUUAAUACGUUUUCCCAAAUUCUAGUUAAUUAAUAAAUUUCACCCUUUUUUGAAGCUUUUUUUUUUGAGAGAUAGAUAGCACACUACCCGCUUCAUUUAUUUCAUUUAGAAAUAAACUUAGCUAGAAAUGUGAAUCAACUAGGAUUCGAACUUAGGUCUCGGGUAUCAGCUACCAAGCUCUUUGCCACUUGCUCUAGGGACGGUCGGUCUUUUUUGAAGCUUUUUAGCAAUGCUAUUUGUAUACCUAAGUGUAGAGAUUACACCUCACUCAUUACUCUUAUUUUUCACUAAUCUUAUUUUUGGUUUAAACUAAAAAACUAUUUGGGUUUAAGUAAUGCUUCAUGAACACUCCUUAAAUUAGGUAUGAAUAUUUAAUCUUACACUCUAUUCAUUCAAAAAUUCAUUCUCCUCUCCAGUCUAAUUACUCUUUCUUUUAUUUA